RNAcentral lists this long non-coding RNA (53692 nucleotides) under Ananas comosus (pineapple). RNAcentral's name for it is "long non-coding RNA (ACOM_LNC004182)". Lineage: Eukaryota; Viridiplantae; Streptophyta; Magnoliopsida; Poales; Bromeliaceae. The record is from RNAcentral.
UAGAUGUUUUUUAAUACUAAAAUUUAUUUUUUCAAAAAAAAAUUUAGAUAAAGAAUUAUGAGUUUUGGACAGAGAUAAAAAAAUAAUACAUGGUGACAGAUUAGAACUCCUUAACGAGAUAUUGUUGGAGAGCUCUCCACAUAAACUUUUUUUUCACUUUCUAGUAAUAUUGUCAGAUGUGUCUCAAGUUUAUUUUAAAAAGUAACUGAAUGAAUAAUAUUAUGAAAGUACGAAGUUAUAGUAAGCCUAGCCAGUUUUCACCGCUUAUUUAUUUGCCUCCUUCACAUGUGUGUUAUAAGUACUAUAUAAGUAAAUUUGGAUUAAAUGAGAGGUAAAUAGGUUCUUACAUAACAUUUUCCUCAUGACUUGGUUCCAGACUUUUUGUAAGGCCUAUAAUAUAAAUUUGGAUUAAAUGAGAGGAAAUUAAUAAUACUACAAGUCUAACAAGGCUUCAAAUUUGAGACUGUUGGAUUAUUAGCGCUAAUCAUUAGUCCCAAAAGCUCAAACUGUUAGAAAUAUACAACAAAUUUACUUAAAGCGUACAAACAUAACGUCUAGCAGUCUCGCUUUUAACUUGGUUUAAUCAGUCUCAUGCCACUUCAAAUAUGAUUCGACAUAAUCUGAUUUUCGCUACAGGACAGGACACUUCGCCUUUUAAGCUAACAAAGAGGUAUUCGGUACCAACCAUUAAACUUUUAGCCAGCUGCUCUAAAUACGGUAGGUGAUUUCGUGUUAAACUGUAGGAGCAAUUGAAGACCUGUUUUGUUUAGAGUACCGAAUUGUAGUUCUUUAAUUAAGAAUUGUGAACAAAAUUUUCCCUUCGUGGCCAGUUUUAAUAAAAAUAAUUUUUAUAUAAAUUCCUUACUUUUCAGAUAAUUUUAAAAGAGUUCUGAACUUUUCUAUGUCCUCACGUAAUUAGUUGGGAAAUGUUGACUUUUUAUUCGAAAAGUCAUGAAAAAUAUCUUUCAGUGAAAUCUACGUGUACUAUCACAACUUUUAAUUUUUGUCCCUUUUGUAUAGCUUCAUCCUUUUAAGGCUAUUAAAUUAGAUAUGCUUAUGCAUGCAUAUAAAAUUUUGAACAAACUUCAAAUAUCACCCCAUAUAGUUUCACACGUUCUCACUUUAGUAUUUUAUAGUUUAAAAUAUAUCAUUUUAAUACCUUGUGCUUUCAUUUUUCUCUUUUUAUCAACUUCUCCGUUAACAUUUCGUUAAAUUAUAUACAAAAAACUUCAAAUACAUCACCUAGGUUUAUCGAUUAUUCACUUUAGUACCUUUUAGUCUUAACUUUGUCGUUGAUUUAACGAAAAAAAUUAGUGAAAAAGAUAAUAAAAAAAACAAAAAUGAAACUAUGGGGUACUAAAUCGGUACACUGUAAACCAUAAAGUACCAAAGUGAGAACGUAUGAAAUCAUAGGACUGGUAUUUAAAAUUUUUCCUAAAAUUUUUAAGAAUAGAAUGCUACAUGUUGUAGGAUAUAACUCAGUUAUGUUUACAAUAAUAAAUCUAUGAAAUUGGGACAAAAGUUAAAGAUAUUCUUAGAUUUCUCUAAAAUAUGCUAAACAAAGGCUAUUAAUAAUAAUAAUAAAAAGAAUAGCCCAGAAAAUUAUAUAAAAAAAAUUUAAAAAAUUAUAUGCAAUUUUAUCCUUUCGAAUAACUUCUGUUGCAAAUGGGAGGCAAGGGGAUUUCUUUUUCUUUUUUUUUUUUCCUAGCUGCCUUUUGGAAAGCUAAAAGAGAAUAUUAUUUUAUAUUUUAAUAUUUUAUACAAUACAUGAAAGAGGAACCCGAAAAAUGAACGACCGUGCUUCCCGGGUCGAGGAAUUCUACACUAUCACACUUGCACCAUAUCAUUAAUAAUAAGUCAAUCAUUUUUUUUUUUUCAAACAAAAAUACAAUAAAAAUAUUUUUUUAUAAUCAUGAUGUGACAUAUAUUUCUAAAAAUUUUUUUUGAUUGAUUUGUUACGCCACAUCACCAAUAUACCCAUUGCAUUCUAGAAUUUUUUCUCUAGGUCUAGGGCAAAUUGAUGGGAUCCAUUUUUUUUCAUUCCUCUCUCAUAUUAAUCAACCCUUUUCUUUUUUUUUUUUUACCUACGCCAUGUCUAAAAAUUCAUUAUAUAAAUUAAGCCUAUUUUAAAAUAAUUAAUAUAAAAAAAAUUAAAAUUUCAUCUGAUAAAUACAAUCUAUAAUAUAUAAAAAAUCUAGAUAUAAAAAUUAAUAGAUUUUUAUAUUUAUAAUAAAAUUUUAUAAAUACAGUGAAACAAAAGUUAUAUACCCCACAAAUUGAUGGGGCCCACUUUUUUCAUUCCUCUCUCCCUCCCAACUCAUAUAAAUUAACUUUUUCUUUUUCUUUUUUUUUUUUGCCUACACCACGUCUAAAAAUUUAUCAUAUGAACCGAAUCUAUUUUUUAAUAAUUAAUAUAAUAAAAUUAAAUUUUCAUAUGAUAAAAUAUAAUCUAUAAUAUAUAAAAAAUCAAGAUAUAAAAAUUAAUAGAUAUUUUUACUUUUAUAAUAAAAUUUUAUAAAUACAGUAUAUAAAAAAUUAUAAGUCCGGUAUAUAAGACAUCCUCACAUAUUUUUCAAUAUGACUUUAACUUUAAUAUAAAUAAAGUUGAGCUUUAAUAAGGUAAAGUCCUCUAAUAUAAGUCUUCCAACUUUAAUUUUUUAGUUAAAACUUUAUUUAUAAAAUAGCUAUCAAAAUUAUUAAAUUUAAUUAAAAUUUUAAAUAAAAUUAUUAGAAUAGUUAACUAUAUAUUAUAAAUAUUAAAAUUAAAAAAACUAUUAAUAAAAAAAUUACUUUUUAUAAUGUACAUAAGAUUGCUUUAUAUAUAUAUAUAUAUAUAAUUUUUAGCUAUAACUUUUUAAAUUUUAAAAUUUUAAAUAAAUAUGUAUAUAUCAAUUGGUUAAAAUACAAUUGACCUGUUGCGAAGCGCCGGCCCUACACUAGUUGAGCAACAAAGGCAAAGUGGAAUCCAUGUGUAACAAAAGGGGAUGGAGCUCUUGGACCAGGGAAUAUUUAAGUCGCUUUGUGGAACUAUAUAUUGUAUUAAUUAAUUAGGAUGUUGCAUAAGGAACUCACCUGGAGCUUUCCUAUUGCAAUGUAACAUAAAUUGAGGAGGAAAAAUUAUUUGGGAUAAUCUAGGAAAGUUCCAGAAUAUUAUGAUCAAUUGGCUUCGUUUGGUUCGGAUAUAAGUAAGAACUAGUUAUUCCAGAAAUAGAUAUAAGAUGAGGUAUAAGGUAGGUAUAAAAUAAUUUUGUGUUUGGUUGAGUAUUGGAUUUAGUCCAGAUAUAAGCAAAAUAGUAUUUGGUUGGAGUACGUGGAAUAAGAAGAAUAGUGGGUGGUUAUAAAUAAAAAAUAAUGAUAUUGUCAUCUUUAUUAUAUUUGAAUUAAAAUUUUUAAAUUUUAUAUUUAAAAUUUUAAAUUUAAAUAUAUAACUCUUAAAUUUCAAAAAUAAAAAAUUAACAUUUAAAUUUAAAAAUCUCAAAUUCGAAAAUUCAAAGUUCUAAAUUUUUAAUUUCAAAUUUUAAAUUUAAGAUCAAAGCUAAAUUUAGAAAUAUAAAAUUUUAAAUUUAGAAAAUUAAAUAUAUCAAUUUAAAAUUUAAAAUUUAAAAUUUAUAAUUUAAAAAUAUAAAUUUUUAUUUUAAGAUAACAAAUUAUAAAUUUUAAAUUUUAAAUUUAAAUUUAAAAUUUAAAAUUUAAUUAGGGAUGGAAAUAGUUAUUCCAUCCCCUAUACCUGGGGAAGAGUUAACGGGUUAUUCCGGGAUAACCCGUUAAUGGGUGGGAUAGCAAUCCCACCCCUCUUAUUUUUGUUGUUUGGGUAUAAGGGGUGGGAUAACCCCUUAUCCCACCUCUUAUAUUCGAACCAAACGGGGGCUAAAAGUAAAACUGUACCAGUUCAUCUGAGAUUUUUCUUUAGUUUAUUGGCGGUUUUGUUUGGUUUGCCAAACUAUUUUAAUACUAAACGAGUUAGAUAUUUCGCAACCGAAAAAUUUAAAACUGAUAGAGUCAUUAAACAAAAGUGCUUUCUGAGCGCCAAAGUUUAAAGAAAAUGAUCAGAAUUAAGAUUCUUGCAACUUCUCAGGCAUCUCAACUGAUGGAAUCCCGUGAUCCCGUCUAAUAAGCAAAAAAAAAAAGUGUUGAAUAAGAUGUUUAUGCAUCCACACAGAGCCGUUGAACAUACUAUCCAGCUAACCAUCGAAAGCCACUUGAUCAUCUUCGCAUGCAACUUCCUCAAAAGAAUAAGGAAGAUCCAAAACAAGAUUCAAAAUAACUAGGGACCAACGCCUAACAAGUCAUAUGCUCAGCAAGGUAAUGCAAUGGCAUUUUCAUGAACUUGUGAGGCCAGGAAAAGGGAAAAUUGACGGAGUAAACAGAGAAACCCGUGACUAAGACGUUACUUGGGAUUACGGAUAGAAUACAUUACACAGCAGGAUUAAAGUGUAAUGCAAAACAAUAUUCCAUUCGUUUUCAUAGGUAACAAGAAGUUGAGUGAGAGGAAUGCUUUGAUACACUAUGUAAGUAUUGAAAAGGAUAUGAUUGUGUUUUAUAUGAAGUAACUUGUUGGACAGGUUACUAAUUUAGAAUAGUCAAGUACAAUAUCGAAAAAAAAAUUUGUGGCAUAUAAUAAAUUUAUCAGGAUCCUAUAAAAUUUUAAAUUUUUUACUUAAUUUUGUUUACUUAAUUAGAUAAUUCCUAAUCUGUUAAGUAUCCAACUCAAAAUGAUAUUGAAUUUAAAUUCAAUUUUUAAAUUCGGUAUCGUAAUGUAAAAUUUUGAUUUUAAAAUUUAAAAUCAUCCCUUAAAUUUGAAUCUAUAUUCCACUUUUAAUCUUGAAAUCACAUUUUAAUGCUUGAUUUAAAUUGAAAAUUUAGAAUUUAUACUAAAAAUUUUAUUUCAAAUUUGUGUUUUAUAUUUAAGAAGAAUUAAAUUUGAUUCAGAAUUAAAUUUCGUAAGUUGUUUCCAAAUUGAAUUCGCAGUCUAGCUGUAAUUUGAAUUCUGAUUUCUUUUGUAGGCACUUGAAAAGUCUAUAAUUUCCUUAGUUGGAUAAGACCAACGAUAGAUCUUAUGGACGAAAACAUUGUACAAAGACCAAAAUAUUCUUCAGACUAAUACAUAUGCCCCUCAAUAACAGAUCACCUUUUAUAAAGUAAUAUUACGUCUCUGACCACGGCCAGAACUUACAUGGUAUAUUGAAGCAUACUGAUCUUUAUAUACUUCCGUCGUAACUCUAUUUUAUCUAAUAGUAUUACGCGACACUCGGGACAAAAUUUUACUAAGCCAUGCAUGAUUGGAGAAUGGGAAAAAGGUGGUGGGAGAGAUACAUGUACACCCAAAGAGAGGAGGAGGUGAUGUUCUAAGUUCUCCCAAAAAGAGCCCAUUCCUGAUCAACCCAUAUUGUAAGGUUGUGCACAUGGGAGUAGCUCCACAGAGUUAUUGCCCGGCACUAAAAUUAAAGAGCUACAUAUCCCCUCCUCUGUUUUUUUCUUGUGUUUUUUUGGGCUAUACGUUGCACCUCUCCAUCAUCCCACGUUUACCCACAGAGCCCCACUUUAAGAGAUUGAGCUCGUAACGUUGCGUUAUUGGCCAUGUCCAUGCACAUAAAUGGUACGAGCGAAUUGAUGAAGGAAACGGAGUUUUGGACAAGACAUUGAGAAUGUACCUGACAAUAUAAAAGAUCUCCCAUGUGAGCAUGAUUGCUCAUGUUCGACAAAAAAAACUUACAACAUUUUGCAUGAUGUCAUUGCAGAAGGUAUUCGAUGCAAAUAUUAGGACAUACAAGAUUUAUUUGAAUAAACUAUUUUGAUUUAACUAUCGAAUCUUUCAAAAAUUUAAUUUUACUAUCCAAUCCAUCGAUUUGUUCGAUCUGAGUGAGUCAAUAGUAUUUUUAGAUUCAAAGUGCCGUUGGCUGACUCAAAUCGAACAAAUUCGAUAGAUUGGAUAGUAAAAUUAAAAAUUUAAAGGUUGAAUAGUUGAAUCAGAAUAGUUCAUAGUUCAAAUAAGUUUUGUGCGUUCUAUCAAAUUUAUGGUUUUAUUAAACUUCUCAUCAUAUAUUUAAGAAAGCAGAAAAAACGAAAAAGAAAAAAAGAAGUAUGCUGUUUGUUUGCUGAAACAAUUUUGGGGAGAAAAAGAAGGAGAGCGUUGCAAGUUGCAAGCUUAACCUAAAAGUAAAUUAUGACUGACGCGGAGAAAAUGCAUUAUGUACGGUUAGAAAGUAUAAUUAAAAAAAUCUAUUUAUUUUUAUAUGUAAUAUUACGUUGUGCAUAUGAUGAUAAUUUAUUUUUUCUAUAGUCCUGGUAAAACUAUAAAAAUAUGUUUUUAUAUACUUUCGUCCUAACUCUGUUUUGCAUACUAAAAAUGAAUUGGGCUUCGUUGUUUGGAUCGGAAAAGAUCGAAAUGUAAAAUGUGAGCCCGAGGCUGAUUCUUUCUGGGCUAAAUCUGCAGUGAUUUUUAGGUUGGACCGGCCCGUUUAUUUAUUUUAAGAAAUGAGAUUGCCCGUAUACAUGCAUAGGUUGAAUACUUGGAUCCCUCUUUUUUCUAAAAUUUUUAUAAUUUUUAAUAUAAAAAUAUAAAAAUACUAUUUUCUACAAUUUAGUUUGGUAUUAGAAUCACAUGUCCUAAGUUCGAGUUCCCUCGGGCUCCUAGAAUUAUUUAGUUUUAUCUCAUUUAAUCAAAUCCACGUCUCGGACGCAAACAUCUGAAUCAUGUAUAUUUUUGGGACUUCUAAUUCCAUCUUCUAUCUUCGUUCUUAGCUUCUUAAUUGAACUAAUUAGGCAUAGUAAACAAGAUCUUGUAGUCCUCUCUUGUAGUGUACAAAUAUGCGAUUAUAAUUUCCAUGGAUUGCUUAAACCGAAUCCUCUGUUCACUUUCACAAUUUUUUAUUUGAGAAAUGAUUCGGUACUUUUUUUAAAAAAAAAUAAAAAAGAUCUUAACCGUUGAUUAAUAGAGGGUAAAAAUGUAACUUUAGGAAAUUAAUUGAUUAACCAAAUUUAUGAAAUUAUUAGGCAUUAAUUUAGGAAUCUACUUUAAAUGUUUUAGUGUUUCUCAAAUUAUCCAUUAAUUUAAAUUAUAGAAAUUUUAGAAAUUGUUUUAUUUCUAAAUACGAUGAAUUUAAAUUUUAAAAAUUAAAUACUUAAAAUUUAAAAGUAAAAUUUAAAUUAGAGGAAUUUCGUAUUACUAUUUAAAAACUAAAUUUCUACCAAGAUUUAAAAUACAGUUUAUUCGCACCAGUUUAAAACGUAAUGCAUAAAAAACUUAGAAAGUAAGAUUUCUACAACUAGAUUUCUUUAGAGGAAUUUUAUAUUACUAUUUAAAUUUUAAAUUCAAUGAUUUAAAAACUAGAUUGAACCGAUUGAUUUGACUGAUCAGACUUUGACCUAUUCUAUCAAGAAUCUGAUUUUAACCUAUUGAACCGAAUAACAUUAAGAACAAUUUGGAACCGGUAAAGAUAAUAAAUAUUUUAAACAGAAUGAUAAUUUAACUGUUAGAGCUAAUAAAUAUUUUAAAUAUAAUUUUAAACAUAUAAAUUAAAAAGAUUAGAAUUAUUGGUGAGAAAAAAAAUAGUUAGGAAUUUGAAUUCGAAUCUGACUAACAAUCACAAAACUUAUUUCCGAACUCGACGGAUUUCAAAAAUCCAUAUCCAAAUUCAAAACUGACCAAUUUUUCGAAACCCAAAAUCAAACCUAAACCAGAAGACUAGAAUUCAAACAAUUAUUUCUGUUUACCAUAUUUCAAAGUAUUUAUAUGAAACUUAAAUUUUUAAAAUAUAAAUUUGAAUAUAAUAUUAAAUUUUAAAUUUAAAAGUGAAAUUUAAAUUAGAGAAAUUUUAUAUUACUAUUUAAAGUUUAAAUUCAAUGAUCAUAUUGUCAAAUCAUUUGAAAUUUUCCUUAUAUGAAAUGCCAAAUUAUGAAAGGAAAGAUAGAGAGAGCAAAAAGAAAUAAAGAAAAAAUAAAAAUUUUGAAAAUAUAGUAGAUGUAAAAUGACUAAAUUGCCCAUGUAUUAAAAGACAAAAAUAUCUUUUUUUGAGGUACCUGGUAACCGGUACCUCUCCCAAAGUGACCUACUAUUGCAGGUCACAAUUUAAAAAAAAUUAAAUCUAAGUCGUUGAAUACGCGUGAAUGAACGGUAACCAAAAAAAAAAAAGUAUAGAAGCAUUACUCUUUUUAUUUUCCUUCUUCGCAACAUUUCAUGUGUUAAUAGAGAUGAAGGUUUAAAUCAGUGUUACCUCUCUGCUACCAAGCAAUGUUUGCUCCUCUUCAUUAUCUCGCGAAGGUUUAAAUGAUUUUACGGAUAUUUGAAUUAAUGUUGCUGCUAUUUACCUACUAAAUCGCAAACUCGAGCUCGAAUAAUGUUUCGAUUAAAUUGGUAUGAUGAGUUAAAUAAAUUUCUGAGCUUAUUUAUUAUUAUAUCGAUCUUUUGGAUAAUAUAGUAUCAUAGUUAAUGUUUCGUAAAUCUCGUUACUUGAAUAGCAUUCUAUGAGAAUUAAUUUUAAAUCUUUUAUUCUGUAAUGCAGGUCGAUCUUGGAAGUAAUAUAUUGAGAGUGGUCAUCAAUUCAAAAUGCUCUAAUCAUCUCCGAAAUUGACGGUGAUCGAUUCAGUUCCCAUGAAUGGUUCUUUAUUAUUAUUUUCUUAAAAAAAAAAAAAGUCGAUUCAACGCCACAAAACAUGUACUACACUUGCAACCACAUUCAAGUCAAACACAAGUGCCUUGAUGAGUUUCUUUAAAAAUUACAACUUUUGAAGUGGAUCAGAAAAUGCAAGUUUAAGUAAUAUUAGAUUUCAACUUCAUGUAGCGUUUGUUUGCUUUCAACUGUAAUGUUAACCUCAUUUCUUGCAGCAACUGGUGAUAGCAGCAGAGUGAAGGUUGUUCACCGGCACGGCCCGUGCUCGCCGCUCAGCCGCCAAAAAGACACCAAUCACGCGCGCAUCCUCCGCCGAGACUGGUCUCGCGUCAAAUCCCUCUCUCCGCCGCAUAUCUUUCUUGUUAACAGCAACACUCAACAGUACGUCGUCGGCCGACACGACAAUCCCUGUCCGCGGUUGCUCCUUAUUUUCCGCCAGCGAGUAUGUCGUCACUGUCGGCGUCGGCUCUCCAAGCCAAGACCUCACCUUCGCCCUCGACACUGCCGCCGACCUCACCUGGGUCCAGUGCAAGCCCUGUGCAGUGUACUGCUACCUGCAAAAGGACCUGCUCUUCGACCCUUCGAAAAUCGACGACGUACUCCAACGUUUCCUGCUACUUCCCGGAAUGAUAUCACUUGUCACGUGUGGCACUCGUCCGUUAUCUGUACGAACGAGCCAGUCAAACCAUUCGGAGGCAUAAAGCCGGCUCACUUAAUAUACGUUCCAAGGUGGAUCUAAAAUUUAGGUAUGGCAUUGCACUGGAAGUUGAUAUAAGUCCGGGAUUCUUCACAUUGCUAGUAUAUCGCAAACUUGUUUCGCAUUUGCGAGCAUUGCGAGCGAGCGCGCGGCAUCGAUGGUAGAAAACACGCAGCAGAGAGGGUUGGAGAUUGUUUACAAUGUGUUCAAGAAGGUGAUUGGAUUUGGAGUGGGCGGUUGUUGUAGGAUGGAAUGUUUGUGGCUCUUGAGAAGGAAUAACUGGAGCAGAAAAAUAAAACUAAUUAUGUGAUCGUCUAUACAUUCGAUGAAGAAACAAUUUCCUGCUAAGUUUAUUUCUAAAUGAAAUAAACGAAGUGGGUAGCGUGCUAUCUAUCUCUCAAAAAAAAAAAGAAAAAUUUCUUUAUUUAAAUUUUGAGAGAGAGAGGGAUAGAAUGCUAGUUGCUUUGUUUGUUUUUUAAGAGAUAAACUUAAUUAAAAAUAUAAAAUAAUUAUAUUUCAAAUUUGAGAUUUCGAAUGUUAAUCAUCUACACUAACUAAUAAGUUGAAAAAAUAUUCACGGUCAAAUCCUUCUACCAGUUCAUCACAGACGCAGGACUGCACAUCCCGAUGAACCAACACAUUUGGAACUUGAAAAUUUCAGUAAAAAUCAAAGUCUUUAUUUGGCUGCUACUUCGGAAGAGAUUACUCACUGCAGAUAGAUUGCUCAACUGAGACAUACUUGUAGACCAAAAUUGUGUUUUCUGUGCGGUUCUCACGGAAAGCUGUGACCAUUUAUUCAGUAAUUGUGUUUGCGUUCGAUACUUUCUCCUCAGUGUGGAAAGAUUGGACGUAACUGACAACAUCAUGGGCGACGUCCGAAGCCUUUGGCCCGGAAUUUCUAACAACCCAGUUGAUUCGUUGAGAACACAAGGCUUGAUCCUUCUGGCUGCGAUUUGGUGGGUGGUUUGGACGGAUAGAAAUAACUCCGUUUUUCGGAGAAAUCCGCCCAACACUACCCGGUCUUUAGAACGUGUUAAAUUACUUAACAGCAAUUAGACCGCACUGCUCUGAUGUGUUACUAGAGCUUCUUUCCCUUUCUUUUCUCACCUUGUCUCUUCCUUUUCGCUUUUUAAUCUUACCUCUUUUUGCCGGUUUCUUAGAGAGGCCUUCGUUACUUCCAUCUUGUAUGCUCAAUUCAUUUUGCUUAAUGAAUGAAGUAGCUAGCUUGUUACCUAUUUCUCAAAAAAAAAAGAAAAAAUGUAAGUGAAAGCGAGCAAUAUUGGAGCCUCAGCAAAUGAAUGUUUAGAAACGGGACUUGUGUUGGACUAUGUCGGGCAUAAGCUUUAGACUUAGAAGAGAAACAGCUAAUCACAGCUCAAAAUCUAGCUUUGUAUGUUUAAUGUGGAUCAUGCCGGGCCGGCCCAUUGCCAGGACGAGGCCCGUGCGGUCCGUAGUAGACCGAGCAGUGGACUGAUCCGAUUAUUUUUUUUACUUUUUAAAUUUUUUAAUUGCUUUAAUCUCACUUUAUUAUUUUUUCUUUUUGGCCUUUUUGCAUAAAAAAUCCACUUAUUUUGGGCUUUUGCAAAACCGGGUCAUCUUUUUCGUUUUUGCAAAUUCGGUCUGCUUUUUCAGCAAACUGACCAAAAUACCCUUAUUACUUUUUCUCUUUCCUCUUUCUCUCUCCUCUUCGUUCUCUCGUUCUUUUUUUUUUCNGAACUUGGCGAGGAGGAUGGAGUAGCGGUCGCGACGCAUGCCGUAGACCCACUCGCGACGCGCGGGGUCGAGGUCGUGGGUGCGGUCGAAGAAGCCGACGAGGGGCGGCGCGGGGCCGGAGCGGGAGGAAGAAGAAGAAGAAGAAGAGGGAAAAAAAAAAAAGUGCUCCAGCAGGAGGAAGAAGAAGAAGAAAAAGAAAAAGAGAAAAAAAAAUUACUCCUGCAGGAAGAAGAAGAAGAAGAGCCCGCCUGGCGGUGCUCCGGCGGCGCGUCCGCCUGGCCUUCGCUUUUUUUUUUCGGUGAAAGAACGAGAGAACGAAGAGGAGAGAGAAAGAGGAAAGAGAAAAAGUAAUAAGGGUAUUUUGGUCAGUUUGCUGAAAAAAUGGACCGAAUUUGCAAAAACGAAAAAGGUGACCCGAUUUUGCAAAAGUCCAAAAUAAGUGAAUUUUUUAUGCAAAUUGGCCUUUCUUUUUUAAAGUUUAUAGUAUUACUCAUUCAGUCGAUAAAAUUUGAAUGGCUUUUUGUUAAUAAAAAAAGGUUAUUUAAAAUUUAAAAUUUAAAUUAUAUUUGAGAGUGGUGUGCUGUGGCCCAGCAAUCCAACAUCCUCAAGCCUACGUGGCUAUGUCCACGUGGAGCACCCCAAUUGGUUCGCACACGCGUCUUAGUCCCUGCGUUUUCCCGAAACUCCAAAACCGAGCUCGCGCUUCGACGAUCUUCGUCCCUUCCUACUGCGAUCGAGAGAAAAAGAAAAAAAAAGAAAAAGAAAAAAGAGAGAGAUCGAAAUUAUUAAGAGCUGCGAAAUGCUCGUCGCCUCUUCCUUCCUCCUCCUCCUCAUCCUCUCCUACGCUUCCUCUGCUGCAUCGCUCUACUCCCCCUCCUCCCCCGUGCUCCAACUCACCCCCUCCAACUUCAAAUCGAAGGUUGUCCCCCGAUCUGAUCCCACUCUGCUUUUCGAUCUCUUCUUCUUCGAGCUCCUUGCGAUUUGAGUGCUGAAUCGAGGGUUUUGGUGCUAGGUUUUGGGAUCCAAUGGGAUCGUCUUGGUGGAGUUCUUCGCGCCCUGGUGCGGCCAUUGCCAAGCCCUAGCUCCCGCGUGGGAGCGCGCCGCCACCGUCCUCAAGGGCGUCGCCACCGUCGCGGCCGUCGACGCCGACGCUCACCAAUCGCUCGCUCAGGUGUGGAAUCAUCGCCAUGUUUGUGCUUAAUUUUGUGGUGUUGUUUAUUUGUGAUUGUGAUUGUGGUGGACUAAUAUGAAUCGGAGAAUGUAUGCAUCGCAUGUCGAACUUUAGUCUGUAGAUUUAGUAUCGGUGAGUUGCUUGAUCAGAGCGGUCGCUUUGUUACCCAACAUUUUGGGCAAAUUUGAUCCUAUUAAUGUAGCGGCAAAUGCAAAUAUAUUCCUGUGAAACUGUUGCAAGUUGACUUCAAUUGAGUAUUAUGAAUGGGUGAAAUUAUGCCUUGUACGUCAAACUGUAGUUGAUAGACCGCAUCAGCUAGUUGCCUAGUCUGUUCUUGAACUUCUUUUAGGAUUUUUGAAGGAUUUAUGAUUCAGGGUUUGCAUAAAACAGGAGGUUGAAUAGAGAGACAAUUGAAUUGAAAAAUGAGAGUAAAGUAUUUAGGCGGACACUUAUUAUGGUGGAAUAGCCAUUUUUGCAAGGAAUAUUCGACUUUACCUGGUGAACUGAAGAAGAGGAAUUGCAAAUUUUGAACAUAGAGAGGGAUAUAUUUGAUAAUUUAACUUUUGAAUGACAAAUCUGCAAUUUCGAUACAUUUGGAUUACAUAAGAUAGCUACCUCAAAAAUUUACUGUUCCUCAUUCAUAUAUUAAUUCUGUUGCAACUUUUUUGUUCAACUUUAUUUUAAAUUCAUUGUUUUUUCCUACAUGAUUUGGUGCUGUUUUGAUGACUUAACUCUGCAUGGUUAUAUUGCUGGAGCAGACUAUAAAUUAAGAAAUUGUCAAAAAUACACUUCUGGCAUCACAUUAAAAGCUUUUACGUCCUGCCAUACCCUUUUCUAUAUUUGAAUAAAUGGAAGUGACAAUGCAUGAUAUAUAUGCAGGAAUAUGGAAUUCAAGGAUUCCCUACAAUCAAAGUGUUUUCACCUGGUAAGCCUCCAGUGGAUUAUCAAGGAGCGAGGGAAGUAAAGCCAAUUGCAGAAUUUGCUCUAAAACAGGUUUUGAAACUCAGAACAAAUCCUUUAAAUUCUUUCUAUUUAAUGAACCCACCAUAUGGUCUUCUCUUCUAAAAGUUUCAUUAGUCAUUGGAUUUUUGGUCUCUUUGUAUCUUGCACCAGAAUCAUCUUAUUGUAUGUCUCUUUAAUCUAAUUAUUAUUAUUAAUAGUAGCACUAUCUAGAUGUAUGGCAUGCUACCAUUCUGUUCACAGAAAAGCCUUUUAACUUGUCGAAAAUUUUUGAUAUUUUGUUUACAUUGAGCUUUAGGGGAAAUCGCUAUUUGGUAUUCAUUGAUUUUGAAAUUACUGGCAGCAUUCUUCAGUCAUACAUGUAUGGGAAGCGCAAAGAGUCAAUGCAAGUGUCAUAGCAAUUUUGUUGCUUAGCUGCUUUUGUCCCCCUCAAUUAUUUACAAAUACAUGUAGGAGUUGUGUAAUAAUUUUUGUUUCAGCCUUUGGGUAGUUAGCUUAGAUUAGGUUCAUAAGGAAAAGUUGAUCGUAACUUGCACUUAUUGAAUCCUCCAUGUAAGUCGGCUAGUUUAUUUAAGUUUGCUAGUUUAAUUCCAUAUGAAAACCUUAUGUUAACUACCUGUCAAUCGCAAAAUUCAUCAUAAAUCCUAACUAAGGUGGGUCCAGUAACUCCAGUUUGUAACACUUUGGUGAUAGUUAUUGGUCGACCAUAUAGACUUUUUUUUUUUGUUUCAUUUGAGGCUCAAACCAAGAUGCUUUCGGUUGGUUGACUUUCCAUGGUAGUAUUGUUAAUAAUUCACAUGAUGCCAGAGUAGCUUUUUCGUCUAUCAUAUGAGUACAAAUAAAAAGAAAUUAAUCUUAUUCACAGGUUAAGGCACUCCUGAAGGAAAGGUUGGAGGGCAAGACUUCAGGAGGUUCAAAUGAGAAAUCUGACACAAGCGCUUCAAUUGAACUGACUUCUCGUAACUUUGAUGAGCUUGUCCUUAAAAGUAAGGACCUCUGGAUAGUGGAGUUCUUUGCACCAUGGUAUGCAGCUUUGAAACACAUGCAACAGUUAUUGUGUUAACAGUAAAUCGACUGAUCUUAAUGUCCUUUCUAUGUAUGCCUGUUAACCGUAUUUGUUCUUCCAAACUAAUUGCUAAUUUAAGGAUUAUAAUGCUUUAAUUGAGUGGAGUAUAAUAAUAAGCUAUUCAAUCAAUUUGUAGACGCCAAAAAAGUUUAUGUAUGCAAGUGCUUGACAUUUUUAACUAAGGAAGGUCAAACUUUAAAUUUCAAUGAUGGAGGAAUAAAAAAAAUCUCCAUUCCUUGAGCAUGAAAAGUGCUUUAUAUUAGAAACUUUGAUACCUUUUUUCUGUCAUAAGGAUUUCAAAUAUGGCUUAGUUGUUUGGUUGUUUUGCCUCCUUUUUUUAAAACUAUUUUCAGGAUAUUAAGCUUUCUCCCGGUAGUUAUGCUUUUUUUUCAGUUUUUUUUUUUUCCUUUUUUGUUGCUUUUCAAACUAACCAAAUUACAAUCUCAAACAGUUAGUUCUGGAGAAUAUUAUAUUCUAACAUGUGAGAUUGAUAUUUACACCUAAAUUUCUUCAUGCUGUCACAUGUUGAAGACGAUAUUGUUGCAUGCCAAUUAACAUGCUUUUAGCUUUUAUUUCUCGAUUAAGGCAGCCAGAUGCAUGAGACAGCUUCUACUUUAGGAUCUGGCAACAUCUGUAUUUUAUUAUUUAGAGGGUCUUUUUUUCAUGAUUGAAGAUUUAUGGUGCUUAGACUGCAAAGGGUUAACGAACUAUUGCUCCAAGGCCUGCCCUCUAAAUUGAUGUGCUCAUAUAAUUAAGGCUUAGUUUGGUAUUGAGUUUUAUCUAACGCUAUUUGAUAGAAUGGAGUUGAGAAAAAGUAUAUAGGGAUAUGCUUCUGCGUUCUCCGAUGGGAUCGCAGAAAAUAUAUCGUAACCGACUAACCGCAAUAUGCGGAACGCAAUAUUACGUACGGAAACAAACAAGGUAUUUUCCCUUCGUCGUUUCUCACCGCAUGUAAUGCAAUCUCUCUGCAAUCCCAAACGAAGCCUAAAUUGAUUCCAUUUGUUCCAGUCCUAAGAUUAGCUUUUUCUGUUUCAGGUGUGGGCAUUGCAAAAAAUUGGCACCAGAGUGGAAAAAAGCUGCAAAUAACUUGAAGGGCAAGGUGAAACUGGGCCAUGUUGAUUGUGAUGCUGAAAAGGUACGUUAAUCUACAGAUGAGGUUUGUGACGAAUUACAUUAGAUUAUGUGGUUAUGAUAUUGAUGAUACUUUUGGAAAUCACAAAGGCGUUAUCUAGCUAGGAAAAUCAUAAUUGUUCUUUUUCACCCUCGUAUUAUUAAAACAAACAGAUGAGUUUGUUCCGUAAGCUGAUAUGCAAAUUUCUCAGUCCUUAAUGAGCAGGUUCAAUGUACAAGGAUUUCCUACCAUUUUGGUAUUUGGUGCUGACAAGAGCAGCCCUUUUCCCUACGAGGGAGCUCGAGCCGCAGCAGCAAUCGAGUCAUUUGCACUGGAGCAGCUGGAAACCAAUGUGGCUCCACCUGAAGUGACUGAGCUCACUGGCCCAGUAUGAAUUUCUAUCAUUGAUUUAUAUUUGAAGAACAUGCUAAACUUUGGCUACUGCAUAAUCUCACUCAUCUUUUCUGUAGGAUGUGAUGGAAGAGAAGUGUGCGUCAGCUGCCAUAUGUUUUGUGGCCUUCCUCCCUGACAUCCUGGACUCAAAGGCAGAGGGAAGAAACAAAUAUCUUGAGCUUCUAUUAUCUGUUGCUGAGAAAUUCAAACGGAGCCCCUACAGGCAAGUGCUUAUUUAGAAAGCACUUUGUUGCUUCCCUGAAUUAUGAAGUUAUUGGUUUGUAUCUUUUUGAACUCAUAAAUUUUAUACAAGUUGCAACAAGAAGGGGGGAGAAAAUUGCUGAAGCUGAACUUGUAGCUUUAAAUUGAAGCAUUUGCAUUUGGGGCCUUGAAGCUCAUUUCGCGUUCCGACCUAAUUGGCGCACUAAUAUGCAGCGACUAUAUGUUUCCUUUAGAACUUGCUACAAAAGCUUGGCAAUUAAAAAACAUUAUUUCUUCUAAAUCUCGAAUUCAUGAUAAUAUGCUAAUUAUUAUAUAAACUAAGGUAGUGUUGCUUUGCAGCUUCGUGUGGGCAGAAGCUGGCAAACAGGCUGACCUUGAGAAGCAGGUUGGAGUUGGCGGCUAUGGUUACCCAGCUUUGGUAGCUCUGAAUGUUAAGAAAGGUGCAUACGCUCCGCUAAAAAGUGCUUUCCAGCAUGAUCCAAUAAUGUAAGCUCCCCUAUCGAAGUAUUCUUUUGUUUUCUUUGUUUAUAGAAGUUGUUUAAUACGUCCCUCGGCAGAGAACGACUUACUAAAACUUUGUCUCCAGUGAAUUUGUGAAGCAAGCCGGGCUUGGCGGCAAGGGGAAUCUACCUCUAGAGAAAACCCCCACCAUUGUUCAAACAGAACCAUGGGAUGGCAAAGAUGGCGAGAUCCUUGAAGAGGACGAAUUUUCGCUCGAGGAGCUCAUGCGAGAUGACACUGCAACGAAAGACGAGUUGUAACAAACGAUCAUUUCCGCAGGGACGAAGGUGUGAGGAAGUGUGCUCGAAUCUCUCGGGAUUAUUUGCACUGCUCAUGCAGUUUUACACUUAGCUCUCCAAAGACUCGAGUUCUUUUUAGCUAUGUUUAUCUUUAAUAUCAAUUGACAAAAGAACAUUCCCUUUUACGGGGUGCAGAAUGAAACAAAAGGUUAAAUCCAGCAUGAGUUUUAUUAUAAACUUAUAACUCUUGUAGUGAUUUUAUGUUUUUAAUGGCGACGGCGCGAGUUUUUAUUUGAUACUAGUGUGGUGUAGAUUUUGGAAUCAAGUAGGUAUAAUGUAGUAAAUGCCAGCAACACGACCCACAAAUCUAGCAUGCUUCUGUCCACAGAGAUUGUUGAUAGGUUGGUAUCAAUGUAGAAAUUUUUAAUUGAUUAAUACAUUGUCUUCUAUUAUAUAGAUUUGCUAAAUGUAUCAAUAGCUCAAGAGAACUCUUCCGCAGGGUACACAAAAACAUAUGCUUUGCGUAUUCUUUUUUAUUUUCUAUAUGUGAUGUUCGGGGCUGAUAUAAUAUUGAUACUGCAGAAAUUGUUAGUCCUAAUGAAAUUCGGCGUUUCUCUCGACGUCGGCACCGUAUUUGUCUACGCGGCCUACGACUUCCCCCUGUUUGAGCGGUGGCCCCGCGAACGCAUUAUACAAGCGAUCCAGCGCCAACAGGAUGGUCUUAUCGUCACCGUCGAUUGAACCGUCCAAACCACUCCAAAACCCUAAAGAGAAAGAAAAUAAGCCCACAGCCACCCCUCGAGAACACGCACUCUUUCUCUCUCGAACCCUAAUUCCCCUUCCACCCUCGCCCUCUUCUCCCUCUCGCCAUCGCGGAGAUGGCCCCGAAACGCCCCGCCGCUGCGGACCCCGAAUCCUCGUCCUCCGAGGAAGACGAGCAAGAGGAGGAAGAGGACGUGAACCUCUCCUCCCCUCCCCCCAGGAAGCCCCCCUCCUCGUCCUCCUCCAAGAAGCCCGAGAACCCCUCCUCGAAGCCCCCUCGCAAACCUAGCGGCGACGAGGACGAGGAGGACGACGACGAGGACGAUGGCUCCGGCUCCGACGACUCCGAAGACGACGACGACAAGAGCAAGAAGAAGCCCCCUCCCCAAUCCCAAUCCCAAUCCCAAUCCCAAUCCCAAUCCCAGUCCCAACCGCAACCCCAACUCAAACCCCACCAACCCCCGAGGAAGACGACGAGGAGCCCCCCCCGGCCCAGCGCCCGUCCCGCGGCGUCGACCCCUCGAUCAAGCCCAUCAGCUCCCGCCCCAUGGACGCCUCCCCCAAGCCCAAGAAACCCUCCUCCUCCCCCUCCGAGCCCCCUUCCAAGAAGCCCAAGAGCUCCUCCUCCGACGCCCCCCCUUCGGAGCAGAAGCGCCAGCUCUUCCAGCGCCUCUGGGGCCCCGACGACGAGAUCGCCGUCCUCCGCGGCCUCGCCGAGUACCGAUCCAAGAAGGGCUCGCUCCCCUCCUCGUCCCAGGACGUGGACGCCCUCCGCGGCCACAUCCGCGGCGCCCUCCAGCUCGAGGUCACCAACCAGCAGCUCUCCGACAAGAUCCGCCGCCUCAAGAAGAAGUUCGCCACGAACUCCGCCCGCGGCAGGAGCGGCGCCGACCCCAAAUUCACCAAGGACCACGAGCGCGCCGCCUUCGAGAUGUCCAAGAAGAUUUGGGGCGCGGCGAGCAAGAGCUCCCCCUCCGCGAAUGCCGCGGCGGAUGCCGACACCGACGAGGAAAAGAGCGAGGAGAGCGACGACGAGGCGGGCAGCGAGCAGAACGCCAAGGAGGAGAACAACAACAACAGGACGCGGCUUGCGGCGGUGGCGUCCGUGGCCAACGGCAAAGCGGAGCACGAAAGGGGGAAGUUUCCGCUCCCGUACCUCAAGGAGGCGGUCGACGAGCUCGCCAAGGAGCACCCUUGCGGGGCCGCCUUCAAAAGGGCUUUCGAGUUCCUCGACGAGCCAAAGGCGAAGGGGAUGGAAGAGAAGCUCAAGAAGCUUAGAAUGGAGGAGAUCAAGCAGCAUUUGCGGCGGAUGGAUCUGAUGAAGGAGACCGUGAAGAUGAUGCUCGAAGCUCUCGCAAAAUCUGAUUGAUGGGCAAGUUGGAAAUUCCUCCUCCUCUGUUCUCUCUUUCCUUUUGUGCAAUUACUCUUUCUAGUUCUUGUUGAUGGACUCGUAAGUGCUUUGUAGGUUGAUGGGAUUUUCCGCCUAAAAUUUCUCUGCUUCUGUAUCGCUUAGAUAUGUCCUUGUUCUUGUUACAUAUAGCAAGAUGUGUCUUAUUCCAUGGAUCUUCACUCACUAAUGUUUAGGAACCGGCGAUUUAUUGUUAAAGUAUUUGGUUUACUCCUGUUCCUCAUCUGAAGUAUAGUCAUGAAUUUACAUCUUGUUCGGGAUGUUUUCUUAAAUCACUAAUUUGCACAAAUUAGUAUUUAUUUAGUGGGUGUUAUUUCAAUUGAUUUGUGAUGAUUUUAGAAUGAUUUCAGUAAGCGUAAGUAAAUCUGAUGGUUGAAGUCUUGCUAUCGUUUAUGUUUCUCACACAUGGUUUUUUGGGUAUGUUAUGAAACUAAGAACAGAGCAUGGAAAGUAAACAUGGAAUUCAAUCCAACACCAUUCAUUCCAAACAAAAGAAUUCAGGCCCAAAAUCAGUUCACUUGAAUUCAAGAAAUUUACAAACCAAUUCAAUUCCAUCUUGAUUUGAUACCAAACCUCUUGCUAAUAUUGAAAUGACUAUCAAAUAGUGUAUGUUUGUUUUUUUUUUCUCUUGCCAUAUUAGGUUUUAUGCCAGUUUUACAAGUAUUAAUUAAUCUGAAGAUCCUGUAAAUCUUUACUAGAUAAAAGAUCUUAUUAUGUAAUUUCUGUGUACUGUGGGAUUAAGGUAUUACAAUUGUAGUUGUGAGCUCUUUUUUUUUUUUUUUUUUUUUUGAAACUACACUGAAAUGCAUUGCCUAUUCAACCCCAUUUUAUUCAACUCCAUUUCGUAGGGAAUAGUUCAGACGNUUUUUUUCUUUUUCUGCAUUAUUUUAUUGUAGUUCACUGUACUUAUGAAUCAUUACGUUUGUACUGUUUUGUGUAUUCUUUAUUUGUUGCUCGAGGUAUCUUCUGGGUUUUGCGCUAAUUAAGUUGUACUGUGAGUGCAGGUACGUAAAAUUUGUUUGGAUCAAUGAAUAGGUAUACCAUGUUAUCUAGUCAUCAUAGUAGUUUUCUCUCAGUCCAAUUGUGCUCUCUCAUAUAUCUAGGAAACAGUUUAAAUUUGUUAGCAAGCAAUUUGGCCAUAGAAAAUUUGUUUGAAGUUUUCUAGUAUUUAAAGGAUUGCUUAAAAUGUGAAAUGGGUUUCUUUCUCGGAUAGGUUUUGGGAGAAACUUACGAUUUCCGAUACUUCUGUAUAUCUUUAUUCAUGAUAUUAGCAAAGUUUAGCCAUCAUUUCUGGUAUCUCAAGUUCUCAACCAUGAGAAUGCCUUCAUUUUAGAGAACUAAUUUUACUGUCAUUUUUUAUUUAAGGGAACUUAGCCUCCGUUUGGUUCGGGGUUAAGGAAAAAAUAACUAUUCCAGAAAUAGAGUUAAGUUCAGGGUUAAAGUGGGGUUAAACUUUUUUUGUGUUUGGUUGGGGGUUGGAGUUAGUCUAGAAUAAUGAAAAACAGUGUUUGGUUGGAGUAGGUGGGAUAAGAAGAUAAUGAUUGAUAAAGAAGGAUAAUGAUUGGUUGGAGUAGGUGAGAUAAGAAAGAUAGUGGGUUAUUAUGAAUAAAAAAUAGUGUUUGGUUGGAGUUUGGUGGGAUUAGGUGGGGUUAGCUAAUCCGGGAUAAUUUAUUUGAGGUGGGGUUAGGUGGGGUUAGCUAACCCCACCUAUUUUUUAGGAUGUUUGGGGAUAAUAUAGGGGUUAAGGGAUUAUUCCACCCCUUAACCCCCAACCAAACAAGGGCUUAGGGAAUAAAGGUAGAAUAUUUUUACAAGUAAACUGAGUCUUUUUUACUUUCCCUGUGGGACAUCCGAAUCAAGGAUCAAUAUGUUGAUCGUAUGUUAUAUACGAUUUAGGCUAUUUGUAAUUCUGGAAUCUGCUUUUAAUUUUUAGUAGUAGUCUAGCUUUAUUGGGAGCUCAUAUAUUCCCAAAAGGAUAAAUAAUUUUACAUGUGCGCUGAUAUGUAACCUCCCUGUAAAAGUAUGAAUAUUGUCAUCAGUUAGAGGGACUCGAAAUUGGAUUCUGAAGCUUGAGUUGAUAUAAGAUCUGUUCUUUCGGAAUUCCAUAGAUCUGAUCCUGUACUUUCUAUCUUGGGAUGAUUGAUUGAUGUGAAAUAUUCAAAGUUUCCCGGCUCCAGGUUUAUAAUUUUUGUAAUGAUCUACUCUCUUCUCUUUUUUGUUGGGAGGUAAAGGCCCUUAGGCAUUAUUAAUUAGUUUUGUUAAAAGUUCAUUAAAUUUAAUAUUUUAAUUAUUUCUUACUAGUUAAUUGUUGUUGCUUUAUUUAUUUAAAAAAAUAUAUAUAUAACCUUUAAAUUUGAUGAAAAUAGGUGAUAAAAUUUGAUAAAAUUUUAAUUUAUUGGGAACUUUUGCUCUCUCUUUUUUUUAAAUAUUAAAAAGUUUAAAAGAAUUGAUUAAACUCUAUGGAGUUUUUAAGGAUAAAGGGUUGUAAUCAAUGUCAAAAUAGCUUAUAAUUGACUGGGCUUUCAUGCAAUUUUACCCAGCCUGUAUGAACAAAAGGAGAUAUAAAACGAUCAGUGAUUAUUACCUCCUCUUACCCGUGAAUUUGAAGGGGGUGUUCGAGAACCACGUUAAAUUUCUUUUUACUAAAUACAUGUAGCAUUAUAUUAUUAGAUCUAAAAAAACAUAUAAAAACAGGAAAUAGAGUGCAAAUCUCUGAGUUCUUGUUUGUUUCAUCAAAGGUGGAAACUCAUGUUGAAAUAAACUUUUCAACAAACUAAAGUUCAGGUAACGAUUACUCCAUUUUUGUUGUUUGUUUGUAUUGCUAUGGAUCUAAAGUCUUUUUAGUUUUACUGGUUUGUUUGUAUUGCUAAAGUUUUUUUAGUUUUACUGGUUGCUUGGCAGGAACUAGGAAGUUGAUAUGCUAAUAUUUAUUAUAGUUUUGGUUAAAAUAUAUAGACACUCCUGAACUUUACCCCAUUUAGAAAUUGAUCCCUAAUUUUUUUUAAAUUUGAAUUACACUCCCCUACUUAUUAAUUUAAGCUCUCUUCUUUGCAAUUUUUGAAAUUCAGUUAAAAUGAAAAAAAAAGGCCAAUAAAAUACAAAGCAAUAAAAUACAUUUGCAGUUUAAAUUUGAUCAACAUAUGAGAUCCAAGUUCGAAUCCUAGUUGAUUCACAUUUUCAGCUUCGUUUAUUUCUAAAUGAAAUAAACGAAGCAGGUACCGUGCUACCUAUCUCUCUCAAAAAAAAAUUUGAUCAACAUAUUUUAGUUAUAAUUAGUAUAAAUAUAAUGCCCAUAAAAUAGUGGGUUAUAAGUUAGGAAGUUAAACAAUAUUAAGUAUAUUAGAAUUUACAUAAAAAUUACAUCUUAGAAAGUUAAUGGUCCUUCAAUUUUUCUAAAAUACUACUUAUUUAUUGGCUUAUCAAGAAAAAUUCGACUGAAACAAUAAAUCCUAAAAUUACUGAAGAAGCGUUUAAAUCAAACUUUUAGUAAGUAGAGAGGCUGUAAAUCAAAUAAAAAAAAUUCAGGAGGUAAUUUCAAAUUCUGCUAAAAUUUAGAAGUUGUCUAUACAUUUUUAACCUUUUUUUUCUUCACAUAUUUUUUUUCAUAAGUAAUUUCUCUCUAGAAUGAGUCUGAGACAAUUAUAAUUUUUUUAAAAAUUUAAAUUUUAACUGAAAAUAAAGUUAUGACUUAAAGUGAAAGAAUACACAGGUACUCCAAUUUGGUCUGUUUGGUUAAGGAAUAAAGCGGGGAUAACGAAAGUUAUUUCUACUAUUACAUCAAUCGAGUGAUUUUUAUCCAAAAUUUACUGUUUUUGACUAUUCCAACAUAACUUUUGAUAAACUAUUCCAUUUUUUUUUUUGGAUAAUAUUAUUUUAAUAUUUAAUUUUAAGUUUUAUUAAAAUUAUAAAUUGAAUUAAAAUUAAAUAAUGUAAACAUAAUAUAUUCUAUAUGAGCAAUGCUACUAACACAUCCCAAAAUAGGAACUAGGCUGGAAUACUAUCAAUAUCACAAAUCUAUUGGUUCUAUUAGUUUUUUAACCUUUGGAUUGAAAAAUGUACGGCUAGAAUGACGUGGGCCCCCUAGGGUUGAGUCGGUGGUUGGUUGAAUAGUAUAAUCUAAUGGGUAAAAAUAAUCAAAUGGUUAAAUCUAAGGGUUAAAAAACUAAUAGCACCAAUAAGUUGAUGCUAUCGAUAGUAUUCCAGCUGAACUCUCCAAAAUAGAAUAUACAUCUUACACCCACUAUAUCUAAGGGCUAAAAAUUAUUUAGAUUUUUGUGAAUCUUAGGAUGGAGCUGUAAGAUCUACACUCUUCAAAACACAACUAGAAUUUCUCAUUAUAUAUUAUAAUAAAUUAUUUUUAUUAUAAAAUUAUUUAUAAUAAAUUCAACUCUUAUUUUCUUUCACUAUUCUCUACUAUUCUAUCAAAUUAAUCAUAUAUAAUAAUUUUAGUUAUUUUUAAAAAUAGCAGCGUCAUCAACUAAAUAAGAUUUUAAUUUUAUUGCUGAAUAUUUCAAAAUUAUUUGAGAGGUAAAAAAUUAUAUCUAAUAUUCUUAAUCCUUGGGAAAAAAAAAGAUAAAAAAAAAAAACGGGGCCUAAAAGAUCGGCAUUUGCGCUCGCCUCCCCAGUUCCCAGUUCCCACUCCGCACUUCUCUCCACCAUCCAACCAACGCUCUCCACCCGACGUGGUCCGUUUCUACCCAUACAUACAUAAAUACAUCAUAAUACAUAACACACAUAACACAUAACACAUAACACAUUACAUCAACACCGCUUCCUCUCUCUCUCUCUCUCUUUCUCUCUCUUGCUCACCGCUCGUCUCCACCUUCCUCGUCCACACACGCGCGCGCACACAAACCCACGCCCAAGAGCGUCCAAAGAAGGGGGUGGGGUGGCGGGGGGGGAGGAGGAAUCGAUCGAUCGAUGGGGGACUCGUCGGUGGGCGCCCUCGUCCCCUCCGUGGUGAAGGCGGAGGCGGCGGCGGCGGCUCCCGCGACCUCCGCAUCCGCCCCGGCGCCGUCCUUCUCGGAGACCACGGACGCCGCCGGGGGCGCCGCGGCGGCUGCGGCGGCGGCGGCGGCGGCGGCGGCGGAGGAGGAGAGGGGCCCGGCCAUGGCGGUGGAUGCGGCGGCGGCGGCGGCGGAGCUCGACAAGGACCUGCUUUGCCCCAUAUGCAUGGGGAUGAUCAAGGACGCGUUCUUGACCGCGUGCGGCCACAGCUUCUGCUACAUGUGCAUCGUCACCCACCUCAACAACAAGAGCGAUUGCCCCUGUUGUUCUCACUACCUCACCAAGAACCACCUCUUCCCCAAUUUCCUCCUCGAUAAGGUUUGAAUUUGUCCCUAUAAUUUGUUUCUGAGUUCAAAUUGGGUUUUUUGAGUGAGGUGCGGUUGGAAUUUUUGUAAAGAUCGCAUCUUUCUUGAUCGUGUGGGCUUAGAACUCGUCUCCCUUUUUCUCUGAUCUGGUCUAUGGUGCACUUGGUGAAUCCAUUUUUGGGAUUAUACCUAUACAAGUGAACGAACUGCUAAUGCACAAAUAGAGGCUAAGAAUUUCACACCAAUUUGAACAAUUACUUGUGCACUAUAGAUUGAAUUGUUGAAUAAUCAGGGACAAGGGUGACCAAACUACUACUUGGUCGGAUUGGUAUGUAAUUCUUAGAAUUGAAUGAAAGUAGGCAUGCGUAUUAGAAAUCCACCUAGUAUGUUUUACAAGUAUUGAAGGAGGAAAGAAAUCUCAAUUAAAGUGUUCAUUUGACUUGUAUGGUAGAUUGGUGCUUAAAGCAGUAAUUUCUUGUAGGUACUGAAAAAGACCGCAGCCCGUCAAAUUGCAAAAACUGCAUCACCUAUGGAGCAUCUUCGUCUAGCACUGCAACAGGUCAGUGGUUACUUCACAUUGAUACAUGGGUGUUGCUGGUGCACAAUGUUGGAAGUGCUGCUAUGAAACUUCUGUUCCGUAUACUAAACAGGGAUUUAUCAUGUUUUGGCACAUAUCAGGAGGUAGUAUGGAGUUUUUGCUAUCUUGCUUUGUGCUGAAAUUCUUGCCCAUGGCUUCAUAUAUGAUGGUUAAUAAUAUGUUCAGCUGUUUGAGUAUGACUAAAAUUUACACUUUUCGAUACCUAUUUUUUUUAUAAUGACAGGAUUUUAGAAGAUUCUUCUAUCAUAAGUUUUCUUACUAUAUUUACAGCCUUUGAGCAAACGAAGUGAGAGACUAACAUCAUUCAGCUCUAUGGCAUGUAGAACAUUAUACUUUUAUGUAUACCUUAGUUGGAUUUUUAUCAUUCAACAUUUGGCGAUGUUUGCAUCUUUCUCUAUCUUGGUAUUACUUUUGUUUAAUGUAUUAUCCGAUAGAUUGUUUAUUUAUUUUUUUAAUAACUAUUCUACUGAAAUCGGUGAAUAUAUUCAUCACUCAUGUGACAGUCCAUAUAUGCAGGACUUUUUUCUAGCUUCUCAGCUUCCAUCUACUAGGUUUACAGCCUUUUUUCAUGUUUGUCAUACUGUAUGGAGACAACAGCCAUUGUUUUUUUCUAUGGGUCAAUCCAAAACAACCAUAAGGCUAUCUUUAAAGUUGUGAUAAGACUCUCUGACCCAUCAUAUCUCAUAAUGCUUAGAAUAUCUGUGUUCUUCAGCGGAAUGGAAGCCUGUUCACUUUUUGUUAUCUGGAAGAAACUGUUCUCUAACUUUUCUCGGUAAUGUUUCUAGUGUUGUGGGCAACUGAGCAUGCCAACUUCCAUCCUAUAUAGAAUUUAUUCUUAAAUGAAUUAAUUUAAGUGGGAGUGUCAGUCCAGGUGCCGGAUUUGUGCUUGGAGAUUACUAUAAGCAAUUUCUUCUUCGAAUAUUGGUCGGAUGGUUGGUUGGUUGCUUGGAUAGCUAAUUAUAGGAAAACUAGUCCAUUCGAUGUUAUAUCGAUCCGGUCGAUCUUUUUUGUGAAACAAGGUUUUAAGUGCCCGUCGGCACGGGCCGUAUCCACUGUACCGCACCAUGCCAAUAAUAUACCGGCACGAUACAGAUCCCGUGCCAAUGGCAUAGCUCAAAACCCUCUAUUCUUUAAAUUAGUAAGUAAUUUUCUCAAUAAAGUUCAAAAGAUGUGAUAAAAAGACAUAAUAAAUAGUUAGAAUAUUUUGUUGCUAAAGAAAAUAAAUAUUUCAUGCUAUUAUGUGUCGGCACACAAGAAUUUUUUUGACCGGCACGCAUCAGCACGGCUUGGCGCGCAUCGUGCCGUACUGUGCCGGCAAGUUUCCGGCACGAUCCCGUGUCACGGCACUUAAAUCCUUGUUGUGAAAUUAUAUCGCUUUGUUGCUGAGUAUCUGCAAUUUUAUUCAAAAAGACCAUAGCUUUAGUAACUUUUUAUCAGUAAUGUUCAUGCAGAGGAACUGCAUGUGUUUCAUCAAUUGAAAUUCAACUGUUACCAUUAUUGUAGUCAAGUAGAAUAUUAGUCAUCUUAAAAAUCACGGAUCAUCUUUUGCAGACUUAGAUGGCUCUUUUCUUGUAGACAGGGAUGUGAAAUGUCAGUUAAGGAGCUAGAUGGCCUGUUAAGACUUCUUGCUGAGAAAAAGAGGAAAAUGGAACAACAAGAGGCCGAGACAAACAUGCAAAUACUGCUUGAUUUCUUGCAAUGCCUGAGAAAGCAAAAACUAGACGAGUUGAAUGAGGUUUGCUUUUGUAAAUUUGAUUUUGUUUCUUUUGUAGGCCUUCUGUAUUUCCACCUUCUGUGGCUAUCUUAAAAUCUGAAUUUUCAUAUACGCACUUAAAAAACAUAAUUUCUCAACUAUGUACCAUUCUACUUGCAGAAGAGACCCUCUUUGAAAUGCUUUUUUGCAUAUGAAACCAACCUCCCCUAGUGGGUCGGGGUGAGUCCCCAACUUAUAUGUUGAAACUUAGAUUUACAGUGCUAUAUGUUGUAUUAGAUAAUAAUUUUGUCAAGAUGUAUAUGUAAUAUAUCACUGGUGUUAUUUUAAAACUUUUUGUUAUCUUUUCUUAAUGUUUCUUCGUAGGCCAGUUAGUUCUGCUUCUAAUCUAUAUUGUGAGGCUAGCGUAUCGUACUGGAGUGUAAGUUCAUAUCCCUUUGGUUCUGCAGGUGCAAACUGAUCUACAGUACAUCAAAGAAGAUAUAAGUGCUGUGGAGAGGCACAAAAUAGAAUUGCACCGUGCCAAAGAGAGAUACUCCAUGAAAUUGCGCAUGCUUUUGGAUGAUCCUGUUGCAGCGAAGAUGUGGCCUUCCACAGCUGACAAGAAUAGCAAUCUCUUUCUCUCCAAUGCUCGCAACUCUCUUGUUGGUGUUUGUUCUGGAAAUUUACAGGGUAAGAAAGUUGACAUGAAGGCCCAAAAGAACAAUCAAGGCUUCCAAAGAAGAGAUGGUUUUACCGGUUCAGAGCCACCAAAUCCUCUAAUUCAAUCAGGAGUUGCCAUAGCUAGAAAGAGACGAAUCCAUGCACAGGUUUAAGUCUAUCAUACUUUUUAUUGGAGAUACUUUUUGUAGUAUCUCUCGUCAUUACUUAAGUUAAAAGUGAAUUUUAUAUUAUAUGUCCAAUUUUUUUUAAUAUUUUCUAAUUCUUGCACCUCAUAUUUUGUUAUCGAACUAAUAUAGUUCUUCCAAACUUCUAAAUGAUUAUACCUUUUCAGUAACAUAAUUACCUAAAAGUAAUCUUUGUUGUUCUUGUUUUGUUCGCUCUAAAUUGACCUUAAUUUAUGUACUAUUCUAAUCGUGCAGUUUAGUGAACUCCAAGAAUAUUAUUUGCAAAAACGGCGUCUUGGUGCAAAUCAACAAAGUAGACAAGAAGAAAGAGAGAUUAACAGUAUAAGCAAAGAAGGCUAUCAUGCAGGUCUUGAGGACUUUCAGUCUGUGCUGACAACAUUUACUCGAUACAGGUCCAGCAAUUAAUUGAGUUCUUAGUCAGGUUUUGAAUUUGAUGCUUUUUGCAUUUGGUUGAUAAAAAGAUCAUUGUACAUAUAUAUUUUUUUGCAUUAUUAAUUUCUAAGAUCCUAUUGUGAUUUAUUUCUCCCUGUUUUCUUUUUCAUUCUUGUACACUUUUGUAUAAUUCAGUCGCUUGCGUGUCAUCGCGGAACUUAGACAUGGAGAUCUCUUUCACUCAGCAAAUAUUGUAUCAAGGUGAGUAAACGGUGGAAAGAAUACUUUGAACUUCUGCAUAUAUCUUUUUUUUAGUGUUACUGUUUUUGUUCUUUAACUAGCUUUGCUGGUUUUGCCAUUAGGCUUGCUGCUCAUUUUACAAAUCUUGAUAUUAGAAUUGGCAUAUGUGGCUUUUAUUUUACAAGUUAAAAUGUGUUCAUGUUCCUUCCAUAUGUAGAUUAGUUUACAGCCUUGUAACUUAUAAAAGCUUUAUUGCUUUUUAAAAGCUUUCAGAAACCUUUCACCCGACAAUGGGCUUCCAUCAUUACUUCAAAGGAUCCAGCUGGGUUGAUACCUUUGAAUAUUUGAAUAGAUUACAAGUGCUUGGAGCUAGAAAAUUCAAAAGGAAGAGUUACUUGGCAUGCACCUUUAUAUCAGGCAAAGAAUAUAUUCAUGAACUAGUCAUCCAUCACACUUAUUUCCGUUACAUGCAAUGAAGUUAGUGUUGCUUGUUGUUAUUAAACCAAUCUGCGGGUAACAUGAAAUCCAAAAAGUUUACAAAAUGGAGCCUGAUAUAAUGUCUUAAUUAUGGGAAAUACGUUAUGAAAUAGAACACAACAUUUCUAGCAUUUCUUUUUAUUAUUUUAAAAAUAAAAAGAACAAUGAAAAAAAAAUAAAGUUUGAAAGGAAGAAUAUGUUAUGAAAUAGAACACAUUAUUGGCUUCAACUGUUAGUAGAUCUAAUAGAUCUCCUAGUAGAGAAGUAUAUCAACAUUUCUAAAUAUCUUUUAUUAUUUAAUUUUUUGAAUUAAAAAAAGAGAAUGAAAAAAUAAAAAAGAAAAAUUUGAAAAAAAAAACACUAUGGUUUAUGAAAUUAAACACAUUAUUGGCUUCAAAUGUUAGUAGAUCUAAGAGAUCUACUGCUAUCUCAACAUUCCUAUCCUUUUCUUUUAUUACUUUAAUUUUUGAAAAUUAAAAUAAUAAUAUAGUAAACUAAAUUUAAAAAAAAACAUUAUGCAAUAAAAAUAUUAUUAGCUUCAAAAGUCUAAAUGAUAGUAGAUUUAAGAGAUCAUUAUCUUGGCAUUUCAAAUCGUUUAUUUCUUAUUCUAAUUUUCAGGGUAUAAAAAUAAGAAAAAAGAAUAAUAAAAAAAGAAAAAAAAACUUGUAAAAAAAGAAUAACACAGAAUUGAAAGAUUUUUCAUUAACAGUCAUGAAGAAACCUAAAAAAUCUUGAUCUACAAAUUCUUAAGUUACAUGAUAGAAGUGGCCAAAAAAAGGCUAAAAAGACCAUAGAUCUAUAUCAUGAACAAGGUCAAUGUUAGAAAUUUUACCUUUAAACUUCUUCAAAUGCCAAAAUCCUAUUGUUUUCUGGAGGGAAUAAGAGAAAAAGAAAGAGGAGAUUUCUCUCUCUCUCAAAUUUCACAGCUAUGAUUAGGUCAAACAGGACCAAAAGCGGUCUUUACUGCCUACCUAUACACAUCAUUUGGAGGUCUGUGACCAUCAAAACGUUUCUUUCGACCACCAAAACUGGCAUGGGGCGACACAGAGUGGCACACCGUGAGACAUGGUGGUACACCCAGCAUUUCUGGGUGCCGGGCGACAUGGGCCUAUGUCAUGUGCUGGCACGCCAUUGGCAAGGUAUGGUACGGGCGGCACAGGCCUGUGCUGCUGGCACAGGCAAUCCUUGGUUUCAGACAAGGAAACAUCGAUGUCAAAAUCAUUUGAUAGUUACGAUCCACAGUAAUUGCAGCCCGUUUACAUUUUUGAGUUUCUUUCCUGCUUAAUUGCUAAGUCCAGAGCAAUUUUAUGAUACUUUUUAAGAUGCAGCAUAGAGUUUGAUCGUGAUGAUGAGCUGUUUGCCACUGCUGGAGUUUCAAAACGUAUUAAAGUCUUUGAAUUCUCCACAGUAAGCUUUUCUAUCUUCUUAUCUUGUAAGUACUAGUUUCACCCAAAGAUAUUAACCUCUUUAUCUUGUAUUUUCAACAGGUUGUAAAUGAACCGUCAGAGGUACACUGUCCUGUUGUAGAGAUGUCAACCCGGUCCAAACUUAGUUGCCUAAGUUGGAACAAGUACUCAAAAAACAUUAUUGCAAGCAGUGACUACGAAGGAAUAGUGACUGUUUGGGAUGUAAAUACUCGCCAGGUAUCUAUGUUUGUUUUCAACAGCCUUUCCUUUUCAAUUACCAUCUAAUCCCAUUUUUAGUUUCACUGAUUGCUACAAAUGUGGUGGGUAAGAAAUGUUCAUUACUCUGUAUAUCCAGAGCGUGAUGGAAUAUGAAGAGCACGAAAAGAGAGCAUGGAGUGUUGAUUUUUCACGCACAGAUCCAUCAAUGCUAGUAUCUGGUAGUGAUGAUUGCAAGGUAAUCCAAUACUGCAAAUGUUAUCUAUGUAUUACUACUACUAUUACAUCUUCCUAUGCCUCUUGACAUGUUAACUAUUACAACUGACGAAAUGUGACUUGUUAAUACUGAGACAUUAUCUUAUGUAGUACAUCUUAUCUGAUUUUUAUUUGGCUGCAUCUUACUCCUGACAAACAGGUCAAAGUUUGGUGCACAAAGGAAGAAGCCAGUGUGGUUAAUAUUGAUAUGAAAGCAAAUAUCUGCUCUGUCAAAUAUAACCCUGGAUCAAGCAUUUAUGUUGCUGUAUGUAACUAUAAACUGUUACUUGUUAUGUCUUUUUCUGUUAAUACUUAAUAAAGGCACCGGUAUAGAUAACAUCAUUUUUCAGGUGGGGUCUGCUGAUCAUCACAUUCACUAUUUUGAUUUGAGAAAAACAAGUGCUCCAGUCCACGUUUUUAGAGGGCACAGAAAAGCAGUUUCCUAUGUGAAGUUCUUAUCUACCAGUGAGCUUGCAUCUGCGUCAACAGAUAGUACAUUGCGCUUAUGGGAUGUAAAAGAUAAUUCUCCUGUAUGUGCUUUCAAAGUUGUCCUUAUCUGUGUAGUUAAUUUUAUAUGGCAAUCUUUAUUUUGCAAAGCUGUUUUUGUUUGCCACCUUAUCAGCAGCUUCUUUUGGUUAUUACCAUUUCCAGAUAGAACAAAAUAAAGUACAUGACUCGCAUCAUAUGGACUUGCACAAAUUUCCUAUAUUUCUCCCACGAACUCACAUGUGAGAUACAAAGAAAUUUUCUUCGUUGAAAGAAUUUUUCUACAUUAACAUACCAGUAUAUAGUUAGUGGAGUAAGUUCUGGAAGUUCAAUUUAGGUUGAAAUGUGUUUACUUCUGACUAGUCAAUAUGGCAAGAUGGAAAUUUGAUGCUGAAUCUUGUCGUUGCAUGCUUUCCACAUUUGGUUUUCUUGUUCUUGUAAACCACUCUUUCAUAGAUGGUUACCUCUAUCCAACCUUUAAUGAUUUGAGAUCCUCUAGCUUCUGUACCCUUGCGCAGUUAUUGUAAGUAAUAUCUAACAGUUCUUGGUUUUCUGGCUUUCAAUGUUAAUUCAGAUUUAGGAAAAAAGGGCUGAUAUCACAACUUAUUCUCUCAGGUACGCACAUUCAAAGGCCACACAAAUGAGAAGAAUUUUGUGGGUCUUACGGUAAAUGGUGAAUACAUUGCUUGCGGAAGCGAGACAAACGAUGUUUUUGUUUACCAUAAGGUUAGUCAAACAAACUUCUUAAUCUGCUUCCGAUGCCUCCCACAGUUGGCUCAAAUCAUUUUUGUUCCUCGUUUUCAAAAGCUCUCCUCUCUCCUUCGUAUUUUGCUAAGAGAGGUGGACCCCUCAUUCCAAACUAACUUGCAAACCUCGCAGGCCAUCUCUAAGCCUGCAGCUUGGCAUAGAUUCGUAUCGUCCGAUCUGGACGACGCGGAUGACGAUGCCGGAUCAUACUUCAUAAGUGCUGUUUGCUGGAAAAGUGAUAGCCCUACUAUGUUAACUGCGAACAGUCAGGGGACCAUUAAAGUUCUGGUGCUUGCUGCUUGAUUACCAAUGAGCUUUGUACCGAGGACAAAGCUCGCCUUCUUAUGAUUCACUUGUACAUUACAUGUACUUCGUAAGUGGCUUCGACACGCUUUUCUUUUAAUUUAUUUUCUCAUUCUUAUCUGCUAUUCUUAUAUGGAACAAGAAGGCCUUUAUCAGGUCAUCGAUCCUAGCAGCAGUUUUGAAGAUAAUCAAUCAGGUUUAGGCAGAUUAUGUACAUACAGCAACUUGGUUUACACAGUAUAUUAAUGCACUGUUGUUGAUCUGAUAUAUCAUGCAUUUAACAUUAGUGCAGGUGCUUCCAUUAGUAGUUUCUGAGAUUUUUGUUUUUCGUGGUCGACAAUUAACAAUCUUUUUCUCCAAUUAAAUGUGGACCGUGCUUCUGUGAUGAGAAAUUUUUAUCCAAUUCGCUCGUUGGCUUUGUGAUUGCGCGGGCUGAAAGCAAGAGUGGCUGAAUUUUUCCAUUUGUUUCUUAUGUCGAUGAGAUAGUUAUGAUAUUUUAUUUGCGGUACCACCGAAGAACGGAGGAAUAUAUGAGCUAUUUAAUGUGGUAGGGCCGUAAAAGUCAAAAUCUUAAACAUUUCAUGUUUGGGUCUAGAAGAAUCGCAAUUUUGAUUCAGUUUUAAAGGUUGGGGGUUCAAACCCCCAACCUUUAAAAUAGUCUCUUAGAACAACAACCAACUACCACAGCGGCAGUCAAGAUCAUGCGACGAUGGAUUACUAUCAUAGUAUGAAAUCACUAAUGAUUUUUUAUUUGAUAGUUUACUAGAAUAUUUUUUAUUUUAUGGCAUGUUUGGUCCAUGAUUGAAGUGAGAAUGAGAAAUUUAAUUAUAUUGUUAUUAGAAUGGAAAUCGGAAUGGAUAAUUGAAAGACUUCAACUUUUGAUAGAAUGUUUUAGUUAAGAGGUAGAAAAGUGGUGAAAGGCGAGAGAUGGGGCCAAUUCAGAAUUCAAAGUCGGAUUGUGGUAUAAAUUUAUUGAAUCAUUUCUAUUCUAGAGUGGAAUGGAUAUAGGAAUAAAACAAACAACAACUAUCGAAAUCAGUAAAAUUCUGAUUUUAAAAUUUGAAAUAGGUGUACUAAAUAACCCCUUAAUUCAUUAUGUCAUUACUCUGUUACUAUCUAUACCUAUAUAUUAUUUUUCCUAAAUUUUUGCCACGUGAUGAAUUCUCCUUCACCGCUGGCUUCCCUCUUCCCACUCUCAUUUCCAUCCAAUGCUUCAUUUUUCUAACCCUUACCUUUUAAUUAAUGAAUUUAUAUAGUCCUAUCUUCACCCAAUAUUUUAUCUUCCUAUCCCUCAUCUCUGAAUUAAUGUAUUUAUAUGAUCUUAUCUCCACUCAAUACUUUAUCUUAAUAACUCCCACCUCUCAAUUAAUGUGUUUGUAUGAUUUCAUCUCCAUCUAAUGCUUCAUCUUUUUAGCUUCCACAUCUCAAUUGCUUUCACAAAAAUAAAUAAGUAAAAUAAAAUUUCUUCGUACUUUUUUUUAUAUUGUUUUUUUUUACUUAUUUUCUUGGCGCACAAAAAGGGCUAAUGUUUUGUAAUUUUUUAAAUUUUUUUUUUUAAUUGUGUGUGGAUUGAAAUUAGGAUUCUGAGAAUCGCGACGGGGCGCGGCAGGAGGAAAUGGUGAUGAAUUUGGAGUCAGUAAGGGGAAAAAAAUAAUGGAUGUGGAAGAAUCUAUACAUAAUUAACAUAGUCGUGACGAAGGAAAAAGCUCGAUACUAGCGGUGAAGGCGAUGUAAAGAUCGGAAUUUGCCUCCCCGACGUCAAUAGGGCGAUGAAGGUGUGUUUGGUGUAGAAAUUUUUUUAUUGCUUUUUUUAUUAUUGUUAUGUGUGAUUUAUUUAUCGAAAUUAUAAAUUUUUCUAUAUCUAUACCUAUAUUUGUUUUAUAUCUUAUAUUUGUAUUUAUUGAAGUUUCAUAUCAAAUCAAAAAAUUUAAAAUUUUUAUUUUAUUUAUAUUUUAUCUUUUAUAAUAUCAUUCCGUCGCAAUGCGCAGGUAACUUUACUAAUUAUUACAUAAAAUUCAGAAAAGCUCCUCUCAUAAUACUAUAGAAAAUUUCUCCACUUCGAAUUUUGUUCAGCAACAGGACACAAAUUAACUACAAUAACUUUGCUAAUCGAAAAGAUGUUAAUUUACAACAAUUUGCUCUUAAAUAUUUUUUUUCUAAAAUAUAAGGCUAUUAAGGUACCAAUUGGGAUUGGAAGUAAUAUCCAAUACAAAUGACUCCCACUAAGUAAUUUAGGCCACUAUUUAUACUGGUGCAAACUAUAACCCCAAUUUUUUAUUUUAUUGAAGAGGUAGCAUGUCUAGUUUUUGUAGAGGUAUUUAAAGGUUAAGAUCUCAAAUUUAUUUUAAAAUCACAAUUCAGCUGUCCUUUUCGCAUAUAUGUAAGUGAUGAUCUAUCAAAAAAUAUAUGUAUCACUAAUUAAUUAGAUUUUUUUUUUCCCCUUUUAUUCACUACUAGCUCUGUUUAGUUCGGGUAUAAGCAAGAGCUGUUUAUUCUAGAGAUAGGUAUAAGCUCAGGUAUAAACUUGAAAUAGACUAAUUUUGCAUUUGGAUAUAAAUUAAGUUGUUAUUAAAAAUAAGAAAAAUAAUGUGUGGAUAGAUAAGAUGAAAUAAAAAGAAUAAUGGGUAGUUAUAAAUAGAAAAUAAUAAUAUUACUCCUUAUAUUAUAUUUGAAUUUAAAUUUUAAAAUUUUUAUAUUCGAAAUUUUAAAUUUAAAUACAUAAAUUUUAAAUUUCAAAAAUUCAAAAUUUAAAAUUCAAUUUUUUAAAUCUCAAAUUUGAAAAUUCAAAAUUCAAAGUUCAAAAUUUUAUAUUUUGUAUUUUAUAUUAUUUAAUAUUAAAUCUAAAUUUAAAAAUCUAAAAUAUCAAAUUUUAAAUUUAAAAAAUUUAAAAUAUCAUUUUAAAAAAUCUAAAUUCAAGCGCCUGGCCUCUCGGUUACCGAGAAACCAACGGCAACUUAAAAAAGAAGAACGAGAAUAUUCCGCACUAGUUUCAAAUUCAACACUAUGGGAUACAACCAAAACUCGUUACAAUUUGCGACCACCAAACUUGGAAACAGGAAACCAUGCACCGGGUUCCAUUGAACCGUUGGAGCCUGUGGAAAUUAACCGAUCGAGUCACUUAUGGGGGAAGUGGCGACUCGCUCAAACUGUGGGCCGCGUCACAUUGCCCUUUGUGAUCCGGUCGAGCCACUUUCAAUUUUUCGUCCUUCUCAAAAAUAUUGAGGCCACAAAAAAAUAAAUAAAUAAAUAAAUUAAUUAAUAAACAAAUAAAAGCCACACAAGUGCCCGAUUGGCUACGAGUCCAUUGGAAUUCCCGCAUGCGCCGCUUCACCACCUCCUAAUUGGCUCCUUUUCGAAACCACUUAAUUAGCACACAGUUUUAAAACUAAAAAAAAAAAAAAUCUAAUUUGAUUUAUAGAUUGAUUAGCGAAUCUUAGAUGAUUAUUCCCCAAAAAAAUACUUUAUUUAUAAACAAAUCUUACAAAUUGCAUAAUUCAAUGGAUGAAUUUCAAUCUUAAAAUUAUAAGUCAUGCUUAUAUCUCCGUAAUUUACACUUCUUCACCAAUUAAACACCCUCAUGCAAGCUAAUUUGUAAAGUAUUGUAAAACUAGUGAAGUUACCCGCGCAUGCGGCGGGUUAAUACUAUAAAAGACAGAAGAUUUAUAAAGUAAAAAUUUAAAAUUUUUUUGAUUUGUUAUGAAACAUCAAUAAAUAUAAAUAGUAUGAAAAAAGAGUAUGAGAAAAUCUUAUUUUUCUAAUUAUUUUUUGUGAAAAUAAUUUGUUUAGAUGACAAUAGGCCAUAUGAUCGAAUGUAUUAAUUAGAAAGUAAACGGGAUAGAAGACGAAGCAUCGAGUGGAGAUAUAUGGGACGUGGGAAGGUGAAGGAUCAGGAAAUGAGAAAAAAAGAGAAGGUAAGGGUGAAGAAAAAACUGUCAUGUGGUAAAUGUUAUGAAAAAUAAUGUAUAGCUAUAGAUUAUUUGUAAGUAUAGUUUGCCCUUCUUUCUAGGUUUAAACUGUAAGCGGGAGCCCAGUAGGAUGAGCCGGAGAAAUUAAGCCAUCUCGAUAACCAAUAUACCACAUGAGUUUGUACUGAAUUAAGAAUAAAGCUGUGCUUAUGAAGAUUCUUAUGAACUUUUUGUAUACUUGUUUAGGUAGCUGUACAUCGUUGAUGGAUGUUUACACAUGACCACGAAAUUGAGAGUGUGGAAAUGCAUGACUUUGUAGAAGGUACGUAUGCUUUGCGUAAGCAUAAACAUUACUACUGAAUUGAUUUUAUUAAGCUACAUGAGAUGAUUGAUAAAGAUCCUAAUAAUAAGUAAUUAUUGAGCCAAUUAGGCGCGGAUGAGAUUUAGGUGCGAAUAUUUCCUUCAAAAGUAUCUUUUGGGUCGUGUAUCGAGAGCACCGGAAAAAGGUAUUGCGCCAAUUGAAGAAAGUUACGGCAACCGCAAGCAGUUACAUGCGGUUCCAAUCGGCUAGAAGUGGUCCGAAAUAUGAGGAGAUAGUGGCCGAUCGUAUAAUAACUGACCGAGGGGGGUUAUCUAUAAAUAGGAUAAUAAUACCCCAAAAAGAGGUUUUCGUCCCUGCGCACAAAAAAACACUAUUAUUUUCCUGUAUCUUCCUUCCUCGCAUUUACUGUUUUCCUAGGAGUAGUUGCUGUAACUUAGAUAUUUGGAGUCUGUCUGCUCUCUCGGCAUCACUUCCUUGAAGAAUACACUUAAAGUCUGCCUGCCCCACGGGCAUCACUCUCCUGUUCUUAUACUUUUUCAUUUUCUAUUCAAUAGAAAGUCACGUUCGGCUAUUCAGGCUGAUCAGAUUUCGUAUUGUGCUAGCCAUUCGGCUCAUCUCCCGGCUUAACUUCUGACUUUUCCCGUAUAUUCGGCUCAUCCAGUCGAACCGGAGAGUAAAAAGAGUUUUCGAACCCGGCUGACCCGAUCCCUCGUCAGCCGAAUCGUUUGAUCUGUCGAAUGGCGCAAACUUCGAGGGUCACUAUUUGCAGCCGUUUCGCAUCCCGACGCGCUCUCAGAGGAGGAUCGUUGACUAGGUCCAGGGUCGGAAAAUUUCGGCACCAACAGUAAUAUAAAAAUUUCAUGCUAAAAUAACUUUUAUACUUUUUAUUUAAAUUUUUAUGUAGAAUAAUUAUUAUAAAAAAAAAUUUCCAUGUCGCAUGUGUGUACUUACUUAGGGCAUAGAUUUUGACUGUGUGUGAAGGCUAGGAGGCAGCACGAGGUUUCGCCCAAGUGCUGUUGUUGUUGUUGUUGUUGUACGUAGGAGAAAAGUAAUAAAUAACAAAAAAUAUAUAUAUGGGUGUUGUUAUUGUGUUCUUUUUAUUUUAUAAAAGGUGGGAAAAUGAUAGUUUCCCACUUCAGUAGUGCAAUGCGCGUUCCAAAAUGUUCAAUGUUAAUUAGAAGUGAUGAUAUUUGUGUUUUAAAUGGAGUUGCACUCCUGGGUAUUAUUAAUUACUCAUCUAGACAAUUUAUAGUUUUGAGACUUGUAGAGUAAAAUCAUUUGAUCCAACUGAUUUUUUUUAUAUAAAAUCAAACUAUUUAAUGUAGGAAAGAUUUUUUAGAUAAUAUUAUUUAUGUCUCGACUUCGUUUGUUGCAUAAUGUGUAAAAUAAAAUAAACCAACUAAAAGUACAAGAUAUAACUUUCAUUAAAUGGCUGUUUUGUUUUAUGUGUUCUUUUUGCAAGAAUCAAAUAACUAGCUUUUAGAUCAUCAAAUAUAAAUAUAUUAUGCUUCUAAUUUUCUAGCCAUCCUUUAAUUUUAAUGGGUGGUUAAGAUGAAAGAGAAAAGAAAAAUAAGGAAGAAAUUAAAAAAAAAAAAAAUUAAGACAUCCAAUUUCACUUCAAUUGAGAAAAGAAAAAUUAAUUAUGUAAAAAUUACUUUUCCACGAGCUAUACCAAAGGGGUACUUAUUCUCGUUAGAAAAAAAAAAAAAAAAAUCCUCUAUUAUUACUACAUUAUUAUAAAUAAUAACGACUUAAUCCACCAUGCAUUACUCUUUUAAAACUUAUGUACAGCAUACGAUGAACCGCCGACAAAAACAACUCUAUUAAUAACGAACAUUAAUUAUUACCGCGCACAAGGAUGUGGUUCAUGGCCAGGUGCUCCGCUCCUUCAUCCACGUACACCUGUUCCUAUAUAUAUGACGCCAUCUUCGACUACGAGGCUUAUAAAAGCCCACGCUCGCUCUCGCCGUUCCGCACCUCCAUUUCCUUUUUAUGUGUUCAUACCUUCGCCCCUAGCUAAUUACUCCGCAAAAUUUUUAUUUUUCGUUUUUUGGUUUUGUUUUAUUCAAGUAGGAUUGAAUAUUUGGUAUCAAAUGGGCACCGCGAUCGUCGACCCGGCCCGAACCGCGAUGGCGAAUCACAUGAAUGGCGGCGGAGGCGGAGGCGGAGGCGGAGGCGGUCGCUUCGCUCCGCCGCCUCUUGCGCAGAUCCUCCCGAGGCGUGCGCCUGAUUCCGACGAUGAGGAGGAGGAGGAGGAGGAGGACGACGACGACGUGGAGGACUCGGAUUGGGCGGCGCUGUGCGGGAGCCACGAGGAGGUGGAGCCCUCGGUGCAGGACCCGCGCGACGAGGGGACGUCGGACCGGUGGGUCCGGCGCAACCCCUCGCUGAUCCGGCUCACGGGGAAGCACCCCUUCAACUCCGAGCCCCCGCUCCCGCGGCUCAUGCACCACGGGUUCCUCACCCCGGCGCCGCUCCACUACGUGCGCAACCACGGGCCCGUCCCCCGGGCCGAUUGGUCCGCGUGGACCGUCGAGGUCGCGGGACUGGUCCGGCGCCCGGCGCGGCUCACCAUGGACCAGCUGGUCCGGGACUUCCCCCCGGUCGAGAUCCCCGUCACGCUCGUCUGCGCCGGGAACCGCCGCAAGGAGCACAACAUGGCGCGCCAAACCGUCGGCUUCAGCUGGGGCCCCGGCGCCGUCUCCACGUCCGUGUGGCGCGGGGCCCGCCUCCGCGACGUCCUGCGCCGCUGCGGCAUUGCCGCGCGCGGGAGCGGGGCCCGCCACGUGCGCCUCGAGGGCGCGGAGGACCUCCCCGGCGGCGGCGGCGGCGGGAAGGGGUCCAAGUACGGGACCAGCCUCCGGCGCGAGGUCGCGAUGGACGUGUCGCGCGACGUCUUGCUGGCCUACAUGCAGAACGGAGAAUUGCUGUCCCCCGACCACGGCUUCCCGGUGAGGGUCGUCAUCCCCGGCUUCAUCGGCGGCCGCAUGGUCAAGUGGCUCCGCAAAAUCACCGUCGCCCCAGAGGAGUCCGACAGCUACUACCAUUACCACGAUAACCGCGUCCUCCCCUCCCACGUCGACGCCGAGCUCGCCAACGCAGAAGGUAUCCAAAUUCAAAAUCAUACUGAUAUACUCUCUUCUCUACUUCGACUUCAGUAGAGCUGAAGGACGCACUAAUAAAAUAAAAUUUUUAAACAUAAUUUAUUUUAUUUUAUUUAUUUAUUUAUUUUUUGAUUUGGUGUGGUGGAUGAAUAAAGAUUGGUGGCACAAGCCGGAGUAUAUCAUCAACGAGCUAAACAUUAACUCGGUGAUCACCACGCCGUGUAACGACGAGAUCCUCCCCAUCAACGCAUUAACCACGCUAAGCCCGUAUACCAUCAGGGGCUACGCCUAUUCCGGUGAGUCCGUUAUUUCGCUUAUUAUUUUUAUUUAUUUACUACUGUGGUAAAAAAAAAAUUAAAAAUAAUAAUAUUUAGAAUUGAUUGAGAUGUUUUUUUGGGUUAGGUUGUUUUUUUUUUUUUUUCCUCCCAUAAUUUUGGUGUCCGCUGAAACUUUUAGUUAGUGAAAAAACAAAAAAAAUAAAAAAAUAAAAACGAAAAGAAAUUAACAGAAUUGAUGAUUGUGGUCGAAAUUGCGACCUAGUAAUUUUUAUCCCAUGAAUUUUGACAUUGCGGUUCCUGUGAGCCUUUUGCUUACCAAUUAAGUAAAGGGAAAAAUAUAUGGAUCAGAAAAUAUAUACUUUUUUAAAAUUACUUGCUCUAUGUAUUUGCUAUUAAAUGUAUAGGCAUAUUUCAAAAUAUUUGGCUCAGAAACUUGCGUCAAUAUAAUUCGAAAUUAAGCCCGAGUUUGCUCGAGAAAAAUAACUUAUUUUGUUAUUACUAAACUGAAUUCAUUAAAAUUAGUUAUCAUUUACUAGAGUAAAAAUAUCUCAAUUAAGUAUUCACUUCGCACAGACUAAACGACGCAAGUUCGAAGCAUAAUUAUUUUAUAUUUCAAAUUAAAUUUAUUUUUUUUAAAAGGAUAAAUAAAAUUAAUAGCACAUUAAUUAUCUUCUAUUCACUUCACCUAAGCUAUUACACACGUUCUUUGAAGGCGGCAAUUUAUAUACAUACAGAGAGAGAGGGGGAAGGAGAGAAAGAGUCCUGUCGGAAUACUAUCGAUAGCACCAAAUGCUUAGUGUUACUAAGUUUUCCGCCGUUAGAUUUAACCUUUUGACUAUUUUCAUUCAUUAGAUUAUAUUACUCAACCAAUGAGUCACUCAGCUCCAAGGGGUCCAUAUCAUUCUAAUCGUAUAUUUUUUCAUUUAAGAACCGAAAAUCUAAUAGCACCAAGCGCUUGGUACAAUUAAUAGUAUUUCAGCCUAGUUCUAUAUAUAUAUAUAUAGAGAGAGAGAGAGAGAGAGAGAAUUGAGCUCCUAUAUUUUUAAAAGUAUCAAGUCAUUAGUGCUUGUAAGUUUUUAGCCAUUGGAUUAAAAGAUGUGCGGUUAGAAUGAUAUGCGCCCCCUUGGGUUGAGUGGGUGGUCGGUUGAAUAGUAUAAUCUAACCGGUGAAUAUGAUCAAAGCCAUUCAUUAUCUACUAUUCACUUCACCAAAUUAUUACACACGUUCUUUGAAAGCCGCAAUAUAUAUAUAUAUAUAUAUAAUCUGCUUAUUAUUUAUUACACUGACUCAUGAGAGGAACAACAAAAGAAAUUUGCCUCUUAUUCAGAAUAAUAUAAAGCCUAUUUUAAAUAUUAUUUCGGCUUGUUUACAACAUGCUGUUUUUUUUUCUUUUUUGGCUUUAUUCCCGCCGACUCACAACGCAAAAAGUCGGCAAUUGAAAUAUUAUUAUUAUUAUUAUUAUUAUUGUUACUACUGUGUCCACUGAUAGUUUAGAAUAACUACUUUUUUAUAAAAAAAAAAAUAAAUUAUUAUACUAUUUUUAUAUUUUAUGCUCAACAUAAUAAUUUAUUUAAAGCUGCGUUUUUUGUUUGACAGGGGGAGGUAGGAAGGUGACGAGGGUGGAAGUCACGCUGGACGGCGGCGAGAGUUGGGUGGUGUGCGCAGUCGACCACCGCGAGAAGCCGAACAAGUUCGGCAAGUACUGGUGCUGGUGCUUCUGGUCCGUCGACGUCGAGAUCCUCGACCUCCUCGGCGCCAAGGAGAUCGCCGUCCGAGCAUGGGACGAGUCACUCAACACCCAGCCUGAGAAACUCAUCUGGAACGUCAUGGUACACAACCAAAAAUCAAAAUCAAAAGUUUAAAUUUUGAAUUUGUAAUUAAUGCACUGUUUGUUUUAGUAGGACUGUGGCCACUUGAGCGAUAUAAAAUUAAUAUUCUAAUUAGAUAAAUAAUAAAUUCAAAUUUUACAAAACAGUUGUUGAAUAAUUAGAUAGUAAAUUAAGAAAGUCUAGAGGAUCGUAUUUUCAAAAUGCUUUAUAAUUUAGACGAAGUUUAAGUAAAAAUAUAUAAAAUUUAUCCGUAGUAUGGACUAUUUUGAGUUGAUUACUUAACAUCAAAAAUAAGUUUAAUUUUACUGGUCAACCUUCUAAUUUGUUUAAUUUGAAUCGUUUAAUAAUACUUUGAUUUUAAAAUUUAGAAUAAUUAUAGAUUUUAAUAAAUUUAUAUUUGCGAGAAUUGUAUAUAUGAAGUAUUCUAACUAUAUUUGUAAAGACAAACGAUCCAUUCAGAUUUUAAAAUUAAAAUAUUAUUAACUGACUCAUAUUAAGCAAAAUAAAAUAUUAUUAGACAAUAAAAUUAAAAUUUUUUAAAAAAUUAAAUAGUUGACUUAAAAUAAUACAUAGAUCAGAUAAGUUAUGUAUGUUUGAACCUAAAUUUCAUAAAUUUUUUACCCGAAUAUCUUGCCAUGCAUUUUAAUUUAUGCGACUAAACUGGGAAGACAGUGAGUUAAAUGGUGUGAUCAUUUCGGGGAUGCAGGGCAUGAUGAACAACUGCUGGUUCAGGGUGAAGGUGGCAGGCUGCCGGCCGUACAGGGGCGAGAUCGGGCUGGUCUUCGAGCACCCGACGCAGCCCGGCAACCAGCCCGGCGGCUGGAUGGCCAAGCAGAAGCACCUCGAGACUUCCACCGCCACCGCUGCCGCCGCAGCCGCUCGUCUGCCGACUCUCAAGAAAAGCACGUCGUCCCCCUUCAUGAACACCGCCGCCCAGCAGUUCUCCAUGUCGGAGGUCCGCAAGCACUCGUCGGCCGACUCCGCCUGGAUCGUCAUCCACGGCCACGUCUACGACUGCACCGCCUUUCUCAAAGACCACCCGGGCGGCGCCGACAGCAUCCUCAUCAACGCCGGCACCGACUGCACCGAGGAGUUCGACGCCAUCCACUCCGACAAGGCCCGCGCCAUGCUCGACACCUACCGCAUCGGCGAGCUCGUCGCCGCCGGCUAUGCCUCCGACAACUCGGUGCACGGCGCGUCGGACUUUGCUAACCAUCUGGACACGAUUAGCGAGGCCGCCCGAGCUCCGGCUGCGGCUCUCGUCGAUCGGCGCGAGAAGGUGCGGUGCCGGCUCGUGGCCAAGGCCGUGGUCUCGCGCGACGUGCGGCUCUUCCGAAUUGCUCUCCCGUCGGACGACCAAGUUCUUGGUCUUUCAGUUGGUAAACACAUUUUUCUUUGCGCCACUGUCGACGGAAAGCCGUGCAUGCGCGCCUACACGCCGACGAGCCCCGUCGACACGGUUGGGUACUUCGAGCUCCUCAUCAAGGUUUACUUCAAAGGUGAGCACCCAAAGUUCCCCGACGGCGGAGUCAUGUCGCAGUACCUAGAGUCGCUUCCAAUCGGCUCCGCCAUCGACAUAAAGGGGCCACUCGGGCACAUCGAGUACUCCGGCCGGGGCAAUUUCAUGGUCAACGGGAAACCCCGGUUCGCGCGGCGGCUCGCGAUGAUCGCGGGUGGGACGGGGAUCACGCCAGUGUACCAAGUUAUCCAGGCGGUGCUCCGUGACCAGCCGGACGACCGGACCGAGAUGCACUUAGUCUACACGAACCGGUCGGAGGACAACAUUCUCCUAAGGGACGAAUUGGACUGGUGGGCGGCGGUGUAUCCGGACCGGCUCAGGGUUUGGUAUGUAGUGGACAGGCUCAGCCGGCCCGACAAGGAGUGGCGGUACAGCAUCGGUUUCGUGACGGAGGCCAUAUUACAGGAGCACGUCCCCGCGGGCGGCGCCGACGACACGCUCGCACUCGCGUGCGGGCCGCAGCCGAUGAUACAAUUCGCCGUUUUGCCAAACCUCGAGAAGAUGAAGUAUGAUAAAUCCGACUCCAUCUUUAUUUUUUGAUACGGCACGAUACGAUUCGGACACUGUAAAUAUAUAUGUAUGGAUUUAUUUUGACUACUGUGCUAGUCCUAUUCUUUGGUAAUUUAAGCCAACAAAAGCCUAGAAGAGAGGUCAAAAGCGGAUAAGCAGAUGCGUAUGGAAUCUCCAUUUCCAUUUAUUAAUUUGAUUAAUGCAAUGUGUAUUAUUAUGGUUUGAUGGAAUCUUUGAAACAAGGGGGUUAGUUGUGGGACCAAAAAGUAUAUGAGAAAAUCCUCUUGGAGUGGUACUAAAGGAUAUUCAUUAGAAGUGGUUGAUAGUGAUGGGCACUGAAAAAGAAAAUGUUCUUCAAGUUUGUUUUUUUCUUUUUAAAGAUAAGUGCUAAAUUCAUUGAACUUUAAUAUCAAAUUGUAUGUCAUUGUUAGUCUCUACAUAAUGCAAUUUAAUUUCCGAGUUAAAUGUAUUGUAACAAAUGUAGCUCAUCUAGAAGAACCCCAAUUUUUUUAAAUAAACAUCAAAGCGUGGUCUGUAAGUUUGAGACGAUCAUAUAUACUUUUCAUUGAUCUAGGCUAUAGGUCACACAGUAGCCACCAUCCGUACAAAUAUUUAUUUAUAUUUGUAUUUCUUUGGUUAACAAACUAAAAUUUAAAGGCUAAAUUUAGUCUUACUUAAACUUCAAUACAACUUAAAAGUGAUUUUCAACCUAAAAAGUAGUUGUGCGCAAAGAAAUAGGUUGAUUAAGUUAGUUUUUACCACAAGAAAAUACUCUCUAGUAAGAGCUAAUAAACAUGGUACAAAAGGCUACAAAGGACAUUGACAAAUUUGCUUUUGUUUAAAGUGUAAGAGCAGAUGCGGAAGAGUAAAAUUAAAAGCAUGCAUGGUUGUGAGGAGGUCAAAGUAAUAGUGAAAUGAUAGAUGCAAUGAAUUAAGGAAUCAUUGAAUUUGCCCUCUUUACCUUCAAGGACACAUUACUGUCCUUAAUAGAGUAGAUACUUUCCAAGAAAAACUCUUCAACACUGCAUACAAACCACCCAUGGUUGAGUGUUUACCCACCAACCCUGUUGCUUUUAAGUUUCUCCUUUUGACUUUAAUGACAAGAAGAGACAACAGAGUCCAAUAACAUCAUAGAAUAUUCUAUUAAUACCCCAACAAUAUUUAAUAAUUUUAAUAAAUAAGUUUUUUUUGUUGACAUGCAAAUUACAAAUUAUCCGAAGUGAUAUAAAUGCUACAGAACAGUAUUAUAAUAAGAGAAAUGCUAAGAGUACGCCUCUAGACUAGGUAUAGAUCUUACACCCCUCACAUCCAAGAACUCUUAUUCUCUACUUGUCAUAUUAAUUUUUUUUAACUAUGAAUUUAAAGAAGUUUAUGAAGCCUAAGAUGCUGGAACUGCUUCAGAUAUAACAGUAAAUAAAGAUGAUGCCAAUGAGAACUAGCAAGUUCAAAGAAUUUCUCAACCAAAUGUGUUAAUGAAUCAUGGCCCUAGCUUGACUUAUUAAUCUAACAUUAUCCAUCAAAUAGUUUUCAGUGUUUGAAAUUUGCUGUAAUUCAAUUAAUCGAAUUGAUCUAUAGUUUUUCAAGCAAAUUUGCAAUGAAAUGUAGUUAAGUAAGGUCCAACCCCACAAAGAACAUGGUGUCACAUUAAGCCUCUUGAGUACUAACAUGCAAAACAAAGAAUACCUACAUGGAUUUCUUGACAAUAAAAAGCAUUCUCAAGGUGAGAUUAGUUGAAGGAAGUUAAUGCAAAGAUGAGAUAACACUCCCCACAGAGGACACAAGAUAAUUGAUUUAAUCUAAUGAUUGAAACCAAGAACAAGCAUUUUGUUCGGUAAUCGAGAAUGUUUACUAGAAACAACAAUAUGACAACAAAGAAAUGAAGAAUACAGAUCAUUCAAAUAAUCUUAAUGCUUCCUAGAAUGAAGCAAAUAAUUUACACCAUAUGCAAAUGUUAAGAAGUGCACAAAUAAACAAAGAUGCAUCAACAUACAUGACAAGAACAACAAUAUUUCAUUUGGGUCUAAAUUACAUGAAUGUAAAUCAGUAAACUAGAGAAGAAAUUCACAAAUAUCUAGCCAUUACCUAUUCAACAGUGUGCCGGUUUCCCUUUGAUCAGCAAUAAACAAGAACGGUACUAGCUUCUGCUCCUCAGCUUACAUCCAUGCCCGAUCUACCCCGGCUUCUUCGUCGGCGGCGCCGUCGUCCCUCCGAUCUCGCCACAUCCAUGCCUCUCCCUUGGGCACUAAUGACAGAAGCCACCGCCUCAUCAUCAACAUCAGCUGAAUACGCAGCACUAACAUCAGGACCGCUAAUUCCAUCUACAGAAUCAUAACCACUCUCUUCUUCCCUUUGUUCCGAUCCUGCGUUCUCUGUUUGAAGCCUCAUAAGUCGCGCACCCUCUUGCAAGAAGAAGUAAAGGAUCCUCCUACUAAUGUCAUGACUUCCCCUUUCAUCGUUCUCUUCGUCGGAACCGUCCAUCUCUAUAACAUAAUCCCCAAACACCACUGCCCUCGGCAUUGACGACCUGAUAGUGCUGAUCACAUCCUGCCGCUCCCUCUCGUGCUCGAGUGUCCUCCACUUCUGCUCAUGUGCAGGAUCCACAUCACGAGGCCUUGCGGAAGGGUGCACAGACUUCACAUGUUUGCGGAGCUCUCUAUAUGAUCCCACGAAAGAGCAAUCAUCCUGCAUACAGCUUCUCUUCUUACUAUUUAAAUAUUCACGAGCUGGUUCCACAACGGUCCAUCCCUUCACCUCGCCCCGGCACAGAGGGCAGGAAAGCUCGAUUGCUUCUGGCUUUUGGCCUGUCUCCUUGGAGUAGGCUUUUCUGAACUGGUCGAGGCAAUUAGAGUGGCGGUCACUGGUCCCGCACAUAUAAGGGCGGCAACCCUUGUCAUGGGACGAACAGAGGAGGAGGACGGCGUUGUGGGGGUACUCCAUACACACCGAGCAGGUGGUGUCUUCCCACUCCCUCUUCUUCUCUGAGCAUAAGAGCCUAUUCUUCUUCCUAUCAGUUACAUCUUCUGUAUUCCAAUGGUAGGAUGGGAUAGAAUAUGGAGUAGACCUGUGCUGACGAGUUGAAAGUCUUCGGCGUCUGACACUUCUUGCCAUUUUAGCAGAAUAUCUGAGGAAAAUAAUUGUUAAAAUCUUAAACCAGUGUUAUAAAAUGCUCUCCUAAUAUUCAUUUAUGGGAUUCUGUUGACAUGUAUGUAAGAAAGGUUGUAACGAAGACCACAUUUUGUGAACCUCUUUCUUUGUUAUGCACUAUCCUUGUUCAAAAAUAUAGAGCAACGUAAGUAAAAUUCCAAUAUCUCGCAACUAAUAGUGUAAUUGUGUGUGGGACUGAAAGAUUUUAUGCUUGCACUUAAAAAUCACAUGAAAAUUUCCAGCUUUACACUUGUAUAAAAUAAUACUGGUUCAUGCAAAUAUGUCUCUGUCUGUGCGAAGAGCAUGUAACUGCAUGCGUGCAAAGAACCACAGACACAUGCGAGAACAAAGAAGACAAUAAGACAGAUAUGACCGAAUUUUCACUCACCACUACUCAACUAGACGACAGAAACUUGUCGUGCAACAAUAGCCUACCUGUGGGAUAAAAAAGUUUUGUAUAACACUCAACAACUUAGUUCUCUAUUCAGGAACAUAAAACAAGCAGUACUAUAGGCCUAGAGACCAUCAACCACCAUUCAAUUAUUUAGACAACUCUACUUCCAAGUUAGAGGUAACAAAGAAUAGCCACAAUAAUAUACGAGGCAAAAUGGAGUUACUUUCAGUCCAAAACAUAUCACAAAUGAAAUAUUUAACAAACAUAAACCGUCCAUCUACUUUACUGGAAGACAAUUUAGGUCCCAAAUAUAUGUAGAUUAGCAUGCGCGCCUUUGAAAACGAUAGAUCAUAAAUCUUUCGAGUCAAGGGAUCUGGAUAAAUCUCAAUUGGCAAAGCUAGAUCCUACGAUUCCUUGGAGACGUAAGGAUUUACACUAGACAUCUCACAUUACGUCUCCAACUUCAAAACAGAUGAUGAAUCCAUAUAGCCAAUUACAGAUGGUAUUGUAAUGAGUGGAUAAUUGUCUUGUAAUACAAUAAUUAUAAGACAAAUAAAAGAUUUAUCUGAUAACUAUGUUGCUUUAAUGUAUCUAUUCAUCUUUGACACCAAGCAUCCUCAGAUCUACAAUUGCCUACAACUUUAUUUUAACAUUCACCAUAACUCAAGGCCAAAAUUAUUCAAUUUAGCUGUUCGAACAGAACCUAAUUUUAGUCCUAAGAAAAACUAAAACAUUUCAACACUAGCACCAACUUGGGUAGAUCAUUGUUAUACUCCAUCUCCCAAAAAACCAAGAACUUGAAAAUCAAGGAUGAACUAAAAAGUGUUGCGAUAAAAUUGAAUUAACUCCAUAUGAAGUGAAAAAUUCAGAAUUCCAAUUGCUACAGAGCAUAAGCCAGGAAUAGUAGCUGUGUCACAAACCUAAAUCAUACAGCAUUAAUUUUUUUUUAAAAAAAAUGGAGGUAAGAGAAUUUAUUUAGAAUUCCCAGGUCAAUUGUUAACAAUUCGUGUAACAAUUUCGCCUUUCCCCAACAAUUUAAAAGCUCAAAUGCCCACUUUGAUAUCUAAACUACUCUCCUAUGAAAUCAUACUCAUGAAUUACCUGUUUUUGAGGAAGCCCCCUCUCAAACAAACAAAUGAGGAAAAUAAAGCAAGAGAUAAUAGAAAAAUGCCAACUUUGUUACUUAAGACAGUUGAGGGAUACAAACAUAUAUAUAGAGAUAAAUAUAUACAGCAAACCCCACAUCAAACAAAGAUAGAAUUUUUAUUAGUGUAUUAUAUAAGAUGCUCUGAUCAACCGAUAACCCCGAUGGGAUCUACCCUAACCACGCAACGCAAGCAUUAUUAAAUUAAAAAAAAAUUAAAAAUAAUUUAAAAAAAAAAAAGGUGGGGGGGGAGACUCACAUGCUCUUACGAUCUCGGCAUCUUACAGCUACUACUCAGAUCUCCCAACCCCCCUCAAACUGGGGACCCCAAAAAAGGGGGAGGAGAAAAAAAGUUAAAAAGAAAAAAAGGGAAAGGUAAAGAGGGAAGGUAAAAGAGAGGGCCCAAAAUUGAACUCGAAUGUUUCGGAAAUUUUUAAAAUUUUGCGAGGAAAACGAAGAAGGGGGAAGGGUCGAAUUGUGUACCUAGGGUUUCCUCGAAUGGCGAUCGAGCUCAAGCAAAUCCUCGCGCUUUUUUUUUUUUUUUUUUUUUUUUUUUUNGGAAGAAGACGAAAUGGUAACGGAGUUGUAGCCACGUUUGUUAUAUAGGGAGGGGACGAGUGGUGUUGAAAAUGGGAAUUAACGUCAUUUGGACCGCGCGAUGAGGACACGAUGUCGAGGAGUUUGGAUGUGGACCGUAAUAGGCCGGGCCUGAUCAACCAGAUCCGGCCCGGUUUGAGUUGAUUAGCUCUUCCUAUAUGGGCCGAAUUAAGCCCACGACAAGCAAGGCCUGUAGUAGGCCUAAAAGUUAUUCAGGCUUGGGACCCCUUUGGUGUGGAGACUAAUGUUAAGUAAAACGGAGUUGGCCAAAAAUAUAUAGGCUUCGUUUAGAAUUACGAGGAGAUUACGUUAUAUAUGGUGAAAAAGUACCAUGAGAAAAUAUCCUAUUUCUUUUCAUAUGUAGAGUCAACCGGAAAACACAGAAGCAUAUCGCUAUAUACUUUUAUCCCAAUUCCAUUUUAUCUAAUAGUAUCAUAUGAGCCUCAAUACCAAACUAAGCUAUAAUAAUAUGUUUCUUCAUUUUUUAAUGAGACAGUAAAAUGUAUAUUAAGUAUAGAAAUAAAUAGAAUAUUUUUCAAAUCUUUUGUUGUUUCAAAAUUCACAAAUAAAUGGUUGGUGUAUUUUCCAGCAUCAUUUUAUGUGGAAUUAGUGAUUUAGAAGCUGUUUGGUUUCUCCAAAAAGCAUGGAAAAAAAAAUUUCAUAAAAAAUCUCUUUAGCUUUCAGUUUUAAAUCCAUGUGAUUGCAAAGAAAACUUGCUUCUUUGGAAAGCUUAUUUUCAAAUUUUAUAGAAAACUAGUAUUUUUGUUUUUCUUAAAAAAUUCUGAAAAAUAAAAAUAUUAAUUUGCUAUGAAAUUUGCAAAAAAGUUUUUUAAAAAAUUAGUUUUUCUUGAAACCAAACGAACGAAAAACUAAAAAAAAAAGUUUUCAUAAAAGUAAAAUUGAACUGUCUACAUAUGUACACGAAUACAUGAGAUGAACGAAGAUCAUAAAGGUUUAAGGCAUUACUUGUUCUUGGGGCUUUUCAAAAUAUUUUCGAACCUCUUUACAGCAUAGAAAAAAAAAAAAAAAAAAAAAAGGAAAAACUGUGGCAGUGUUUGGGUGAAGAACGAGGACCCAGAGAUGACAAUAUAUACGGAAAUACGUGGACCAUUCCUCCAAAUACUACAUACGGUGGUAUACGCUCUACGCUUCGAAAUUAAUGGGCGGAGGAGGAGAUACGUAGAGAAGGCGCAUAUUUUUGUUAGCAAAUUAUAUCAAAGGACAAUAAUUUUAUAGGUAACGGCAAGAAUUUAAUUAUCACGGCGUGCCAAAAAUUUACAGACACGGUAUGAUACGGUGCAUGUCGAAUCAUACCAAUAAAUGUCAAUCAAAGAAAUACAUGUAUACCAACAUAAUAGCAUAAAAUAUUUAUUUUUUAGCAACAAAAUAUUUUAAUUAUUUAUUUAUAUUUUUUAAAAUUUUAUUGAGAAAAUUACUUAUUAUUCUUUUUAAAAAAAUGAGGGUUUUGAAAUGUAUUAUUAGAACGAAAAUUGUAUCGUACUGAUAUAUUAUUAACACGAUAUGACACGGUGAAUGCAGUCUGUAUCGAUAAACACUUAAAUUCUUAAAUAACGGUGAAAUUGUGAUAUUCCAAUAAGUAAUUCUUUACCCUGCUAAAAUUUCUCUAUCACUGUCCAAUAAUAUCCAACUGUAAAAUACUAUUAAUCUUCAUAAUCUUAGUCAAUGUGGCAUCUAUAAUCUAUAAUUUAUAAAAUCUAUUAAUUUAGAUGAAUUCCCAAUGUUUGUUGUCAUAUGGUAAGUUUUUCUUCACCCUCACUAGCAUGUGACUCUUCUUCUUUCCCUCACUAAACUUUCAAUGUACAUUUUAAUGAUUCCACUAACAAAACUUUUAAUUAAUAUAUUUAAAUGGUUCCAUUCACAAAACUUUAAAUUAAUAUAUUUAAAUGACCCCACUAUCAUGUAUCAUUCUAUCAUUUCUAUCUACAAUUAUUCAUUAUUACCAUUUCCAUUCCCUCCACUGUACUUUUAAUUAAUGCAAACGAUUUCACUACCAAACUUUCAAUUAAUAUGUUUAAAUGAUCUCACUACUAUCUUACAAUCCUAACCUCUCUCUAUCUCCAAUUAUUGAUUAUGGCAAUUUUCCUUCCCUCCACCAGACUUUUAAUUUUUUUAUCUCCAACCUAUUCCUCGCUCCCUCCCUGUCUCUCACUAAUACGCGCCCACUUCCCCUCUCCCCAUGACGUUUGGUGGAUAUAUCAAGUGAGAUACAGAAGAGAAUGUUUAAUAUUUUCUUAUUAUUAAUUACUAUUAUAAUUUUUACCUGCUGUAAAGCGCGGGCCCUUCACUAGUUCUAUUGAUUUUCAUAAUCUUAGUCCAUGUGGCAUGCUUUCCUUAAGUUUUACCUAUGGGAUCCACCUUCAGAGUUUCUCCCUCUUCCGAUUUCUAUUCUCCAAUCGCUUCGCUCAUUUUUCGCUCUUCCAUACUGUGCUCGCUCACCUUCCACGUAACUCAUUGCCUCUUCGACUUUCCCUCUCAUUAAUUAAAUGCUACUCUCCAAUCACUUUGCUCUUUGUUCAUUCCUCCGCAGUGUGCCCAUUCGCCUCUUCCGUAAAAUCAUUGCCUCUUCGGUUUCCUGCCUCAUUAAUUUCUACUUUUUACGAGAUGUUGCCUCAUAAUAAAUGAUAAAAAAAGAAAAAAUUAUUUCUAAAGUUUUUUUUCUUUAUUGUACACUACUUUUUAUAAAUAAGUUAUUUGAGUUAUAUAAAAAUUGACAGAGCAAAAUUAUCAAGAACUAAUUAAAUUAUUUUGUUGCACCAACAGACUAAAUAUAAUAUAUAAGCCGUUGGACUCAUGGAUGUAUGAAAAUUAGCUCUUUACAAUUUAGGUAGUUACAACUAAAUAUUAUUAUUUUUAAAAUUUAUUUAUAUGGCUGUCAUAUAUUCCUUGCACUUUUUCUUCAAUUACUUUACAUUCUGUACUAAUUCUAUAAUAGCAUGACAAUUUUGAUAUUUAUAGAUAAAUGCAAUAAUAGUUGGUGUUAAGAGAAAUCUAAUUUGGGUUAAGAAAGAGAAUUGGACAAAUAAAUUUCUUUAUAUGAUUAGUUAAAUAUGAAUUUAAGUCUCUUCAGCAUAAUCUUUUGCCAUUUGUUAUACAUUCUUUAUAAUAUUCUAAAUAAAUAUCUUUUCACUUAUACUUCUUACUUUUUCAUUUCUUACAUUUUUUUUUUCUUAGAUUGUAAUUUCAUUGUAAAAAAAUUUUCUAUAUUUUUUAUAUUAUUAAAUCCUUUCUCACGUUAUUAUUUGUUAUUAAAUUUGUAAAUUUGUACUAAAAUAUUAUUACCCACCGCAUCGCCCGGAUUCUUACACUAGUAAUAACAUGGAAAAAAAAAAAAAACUGAAAUUCUUAUUAGGGGUUUGAAUGAUCACCGUAAUCUCCAAAUCAAAUGCUAUCUAAAAAUUUCAUUUCGCUAAUUAAUGAUAUUGAUCGAUCACCCUAUACAAAGCUAAUUACAUGCGUGUGUGAAUGCAUGUGCACAACAGCAAGUUUUCAUACGUCAAUACCUUUAUUUUAUGAAACUUUUGAAUUAGCACUAUGCAUUUAAAUCGUUAUAAUUCUGAAAAUUAUAUACAAAACUUGUUUUUCAUGCGUACAUAUUAUUCACAACAUAUAUAAAACUAAUUAAAUCACUACAACAAAAACGGUCUAUAGUGACACUUUUAAAUGUAGCUAUAUGUCAAAAAAGUGCUGCUAGCUAAAAUUACCGACACUUUUAAAAAGUGUUGCUAUAUGUGGGGUCGCUAGGUAUAUAGUGACAGUUAAAGAGUGUCGCUAUAACCUAAAAGAGUGCUGCUAAUUUACCAACACUUAUUUAAGCAUUUAGCAACCGCCGAAACUCUAUCUCGUUGGCUGCGGUGGUGGAGGAGGACGACACGAAAGGCUCUUCGUCUAGAAAUUCAGUGGAUUGAGUAAAGAGAGAAGAAAAGAUGGUAAGUGAUUUUUCUUUUUUUUUUCUUUUCUGUUUGUAAUCGGGCCAAAUGGACUGGGUGUGGUGGGUUGAGUAGAGUAAUCUUUUAUUUUUGGUUGGAUUGGGCUUUAUAUUUAGAAUAAAUGGGACACUUACUUAAAAGUGUCCCAAACAUGUGUCCCUAUAACCUAAUUUUGUUAUAGUGAAUACCCACCUUAUUAAUAACGUUUGUUUGACAUUAAAGACAAAACUCUUUUUUUGAUUCUUUUUCCAACUUUUUAGAAUGACUAAAUUCAACGCUUUAGAUUUACCUACCGGUUUAGGUUAACCUAAAAUGAAACGUACAUCCUCUACAUUUCUCCAUAAAAUUUAAAGGGUUAAUUGCGCACUAGUUCCACAAACAUAGAUAGUAAAUUGUAAAUAUAUUCUUGUAAACUUCAACUUUCAUAAAUUAUUCCUACAAAAGUCAUAAUGUUUUCAGAUAUAUUGCUCUUAUUUGUUACAUUAGAAACUGUUAAAAAAUUGUUUAUAUUUUCAAUUUGCUAUCACAAAUAUAUCCCUCCAAAAAUUAUAACAGUAUAAUACAAAAGAGAUAAAAAUGUCAAAAAUUAUAAAAAUUAAUUAGGGUAAAGUAUUUAACCUAUGGUUAACUAAACUUUUCUAACGGAUUUUAACGACAGGAAUAUAUCUGAAAAUAUUAGGACUUUUGCAGGAAUAACUUAUAAAAUUUGAACUUUAUAGAAAUAUAAUUACAAUUCAUUAUGUUUGCGGGAAUCUGUAUGCAAUUAAUCCUUUUUUUUUUAUUUUUGAGAGAAAUGUCGCAUGCUACCCGCUUCGUUUAUUUCAUUUAGAAAUAAACUUAGCUGGAAAUGUGAAUCAACUAGGAUUCGAACUUGGGUCUCGGAUACCAACCAUCAAGCCCUUUUGCCACUUGCAAUUAAUUCAAAUUUAAAAGUCAAUAAAACAUAUUUACGCAUCCUCUUUCUCUAUACAUUUUUCCAUAGAAUUUAAAAGUCUUUACACUAAAAAAGUUAACUAAAUAUCUCUAUUGACGAAGAACUUGUAUUUAUAGACCACAGAAAACUAUAAUAAUAUACUGCUCUUAAGGUUUCAAAUAUUAUUAUUUUUUUUUAAUUUCAUCUUCUGAAUUUAAAUUUUAUUCUAAAUUUUAACUUCCCUUUUAUGAUUUUUUUUUUUU